This 76177-nucleotide long non-coding RNA is filed under the name Brachypodium distachyon (stiff brome). RNAcentral describes it as "long non-coding RNA (BDIS_LNC003239)". The stretch from base 47621 to 47756 matches the Rfam family "MIR1120/MIR1122 microRNA precursor family". The record is from RNAcentral. Lineage: Eukaryota; Viridiplantae; Streptophyta; Magnoliopsida; Poales; Poaceae.
UCAUUCCAUCCUCCUGGCCGUUCAUGGUCUGGGGGCUGGACAUCGUCGGCAAGUUGCCGAGAGCAGUUGGCGGCUAUGAGUACUUGCUCGUGGCCGUUGACAAGUUCUCCAAGUGGGUGGAAGUGGAACCAGUGCGGAAGGUGACCGCUCAGGCGGGCAUCAAGUUCUUCAAGGGCAUUAUGUGCCGGUUCGGUGUGCCUAACGGCAUCAUCACUGAUAAUGGCACACAAUUUACGAGCGCCGUGUUCCAAGCCUACUGUGAGGACAUGGGCACCAAGAUCCACUUCGCCUCUGUUGCUCACCCGAGGACCAACGGACAAGCGGAGAGGGCCAACGCAGAUGUGCUGUGGGGGCUCAAGACGAGAACCUUUGACAAGUUCAAAGGCCACGGGAAGCACUGGAUUGAAGAACUCCAGCCCGUUCUGUGGUCGAUCAGGACCACACCUAGCCGGGCAACAGGUGAAACUCCGUGCGCCCUUGUCUACGGGGCAGAAGCGGUGCUGCCCCUCGAGCUCAAGCAUAGCCAACACGAGAAGAGGGUUGACGAUCUUCACUUCAUCGAAGAACUUCGAUGCCGGGCUGCUGACGAGCUGCACGCUAUCAACAGGGGCUCCGCCCUUAUCACGACAGGCGAGUCCGUAACCGGGAGCUCGAGGUCGGAGACCUUGUCCUGCACCGGAUACAAGGAACGAAGGCCGAGAAGAAGUUGACUCCGAAAUGGGAGGGCCCCUUCCGGGUAGUGUAGGUGACCAGGCCGGGGGCUGUCCGGCUGGAAACCGAAGAGGGCUUGCCGGUGCAAAACAGUUGGAAUCUUGAGCACUUGCGCAAGUUCUACCCGUGAAGCGGCGGAGCCUGACCCACGGGUGAUGUUGCUGCAACAUGCCUCUCGAACUAGUGUAGCCGGGCAACCCCUUAUUGUAAUCUGCUAGUUUCUAUGAAUAAAGUUAAGUAUUUCCUCUGCAUUUCAAGUUGUCUCGUUAUUGCAUGUUCUUUCUUCUGUCUCCUGCUCUAGGUGCACAGAAGUUUCUUUCCAUCCUUGGCUGUGAGUAAAGGGCUGUCGGAGCCUCGAAAACAAAAAUCCGUUGCCGGAUCACUCCGGCACGGGGCCGUGCCGUUGCCGGGUUCCCCGCAACGCGCACCACGCAACAGCUGCGUCUUGGGAAUGAAAGAGUGCUCACACCCAAGUUUGGUAUCGACUCUUCUGUGCCCGAGGGCUGAGAGACAGGAGGGCUAUCUGUGCUGUACCUUUUUUCGUGCAUUUUGAAUUUUUUUUUGCAGCAUCUCGGGCUUGGUAAGAAUCUGACAUGCAGGAUGAGAAUAGAAAUUAGACGCAUUGUGAUACUCGUGGAGUACUCACGGGCCGUGUCGUCUAGCGGGUAGCCACUGGUGCGUGGCGACCGCUUCAAGGCUCUUACCACAAGAGGGUGUCGCCGCGUGUGCCGCGGUAGCUCGGCGCGCGUGGCGACGGGAUUCUCCACUGUGCCUAUAAAAGGACAUGGUGGCCACGGGGCAACUCAAGACAAAGCUAAGAGGAUGGAGAGUGACGCAGUAGAGAAGCGGUGGUGGUGCAUUCCUCUGCGCGCAACCGCCAAAGGUGUUCCCACCAUCGCUUCCCUGCUACAUCACUCCUCCAGGCAUUUCCAAGGCGAGGGUUGCCGCAGAGACGCGAUGGUGGUGCAUGCCAUCAGUGCUUAUCGUCGAUGGGUGCAUUGCCAUCGUGCUCCUUGCCGCAUCCCUCCAGCAGGCGUCCCAAGUGCUACAUCACUCCUCUGGGCAUUUCCAAGGCAAGGGUUGCCGCAGAGACGCUGUGGUGGUGCAUGCCAUUAGUGCUCAGUGACAACGGGUGCACUGCCACAGCGCCCUUUCCGCAUCCCUCCAGCAGGCGUUCCAAGUGCGGAACCGAUACGUUCGACAAGAGAACAGACAGCUAAGUGCAUUAUCUUAGGCGCCUAGCUUACUAAUCUCGACGCUGGCUCGUUGGUGUGGGUCGGGUCUUGCGUGCGGCUGGAGUGUUAGAAGGAUGCUUGCGGGGGGAGUGCGCUCCUCAUGUGGUUUGCGGGUCCGUCCCGUAGACGCGUGCUUGGGAGUACCUAACCCGCAAGUGGAGUGGCUCGCCGCUGCUACUUAACCCUAGGUUAGCACUGCGGGUCCAUCCCGGGUCCCUGGUCUGGUUAAGUGAGUAGCGUGUGAGUCCCCAACAACACAAAGCAUAACACAUAAGGACAGGAAGGUCCACCCCACGAGUCAACUUCAGGAACAAGUACCAAGUAGAACCAGAAAGCAAAAUUUCUAAAAGUAGCGAAUGAUUAUAUGGGCUAAUAAAACCAUAAUUGUUCAACGGCGCCAAGCGCCACUUGCAGGAAACAAAGGUAAAACAAAGGCUAGCAGGUGACUACGACGACUGGUUGCCGGGGUCUUCCGCUGAGGGCUGCGGCUCCGGCUUCCUCUACAUCCGCUCCACCACUUCAUCGAUGAACUUGCCCACUGCCUUGGUGUGGGAGAGACCGUCCUCGCUGUCCGACCACGUGUCCAGCAGCGCCUCGAAAGGGAAGUCGGGAUGGUAGUAGUGCACCCGGGGGAGGAUCGUCUCGACGAUCUCCCUGGCGCACGAUGCUAUCUCCCCGUCGCAAAACUUGGUGAUCCACACGUCCAGCGCCCCAAGCUUCCCCACCAUGUCAGAGAAGAAUGGGAUCAGGGUGCUGACAUCCGUGCCGUCCACCUUCGCCGCCUGCAGCUCGAACCUCGGCAACAGCUCGCACACAGCCUGGGCGAUUUCAAGCAGCUUCUCGGUCUCCUUCUGCCGCUACUCCGCCAACUUGUCGUGAUUGCUGCGAGGACACCACCGCAAGCUUGGCCUUCCGGAGGAGUUCCGUCAGCCACACGAUCUCCUUGGCCUUCCUCACGUUGUCCUCGCCAGUCUUGACGAGCUCGCCCUGGGCGGUGGUCGGCUCGGACUCGAGACGGGCGCUCCUUUCCUUGGCGAAAUUGAGCUCCCCCUCGAGUUCAAGCUCCCGGGUCCGGAACUGCUCCUGCAGCUCCUUCUCCCGCCGUGUCGACGCCGCUGCUGCGUCCUCCGCGGCCUUGGCCUGCUCCUCCAGCUUCACACGCAACGCCUGGAGUUGGGAGGAGUAGCCGCUGACCAGCUCGCACUUCUCGUUGAGGCGAGCUUGAGCUGUUGCUAGCACGUCCUCAUGCUCCUUGUUGGCCUUCUCCCGUGCCGCGGCCAGCAAGUCCAAUACUUGCUGGUGCUCGGCGCGUUGGGCUUCCAACUGCCGGUGGAGCUCCGCCUCGGGGAUGACUGGCGUUGUGGCCUCGUCCCUGGCCUGCUGGGUCUCCUCCCUUUGCCGGGAGAGCUCUUGCCGCUCCCUCUCGACGUCCCGCACUUCACCCAGCUGAAGCUUCGCGAGCUCAUGGUGCUCCCUCACCUUGUUGAACGAGGUGACGAACGCCAGUUGCUGCUCCUUGAUGGCAUCGAGGAACUGGUGCCCCGGAUCGUAGAUACUUGGGUGCCAGGUGAUUGGGUCCCAAGUCGCCCUGGCAAGGAUGUCGAGGUCUGGGCAGGAGGUAGCGGCGGACGACGAUGAGACCCCCGCUGCCAUGGUCUGGCCAUGUAGAGCAUCUUCCCCUUGCAGGUGGCCGCCUGCUGCUCCACUACCACGUCUUCCUCCACACCUGCGCCCGUGGGUUGCGGGUCUGGUGGAGGGGCCGCGCCCCCGGCAGGAGUCGUCUCCUGCGGGGCAGCCGCGGGACCCGCGCCCCCGGCCUGCGAGGCCGGGGGCGUGCCGCCGAGCCCCACUCCGGUAGCGGCGGUGGGCGCCACCACCGUUGUGUCUGGGACGGCGGGGCUUGGCGCGGGAGCCACCUCCGGCUCGUCCUCCAACUCAACGUCCUCGGCGUCAGAGGGGAGGUCGAUCACCGUACCAUCCGCCCCCGUGGUGGGCCCAUUGGGACCUGCGACAAGAGCAAAAUAAGUUACUUCAAGCCAAGCUGAGGCACCUGGCGACAAGCGCAAGGGAGUUCGGGUUGUGUACCUUGCGGGGUCGCCGCGCUUGCGGGGGGAGAUUUGUUUCCCCCUGCCCCGGCUUCUGCUGCCGGGCUGCCCCCUGCAGGCUGGGUUUCGCCGGCAAGCCAAGGUAAUCGCACGGUUAAGGGUUAACAUGCAGAAGGAGCAUGAACAGUGGAGUCAGGAAUGGGGUGUGUACCUACUGCGGGCUCCGCCUCCUCUGGGACCGGGUCGGCAGCAGGCGUAGUGGCGGCGCCUCUGGCCCUCGUGCCGAUCUGACUGGCACUAAUGCUGGCCCGGAUGCGCGGCUUCUUGCUUGGCGCAGCGGGUGUAGUGUCGGUUCUCCCCCUCUUGCCGGCUCCCCCCGAGGCGCCGUCCCUGCAAGGCAUUAACAAAGAAGCGAAUGAAUCAAGGGAAGCACAAACUUGUAAAUAAAAGGGGGAGAAAAAUGUCAGCUUAACUAGGGGGGUUGAGCUUGAGCGAGUAGCCCGUGAAGAUCCCCCGCUUGGACAGGACUGCACGUCAGUGAGGACCGACGAGCCUGCCGACAGGUACCGCACGUCGGCAGCCUCGGCACGUUGGCCGUGAUCGACAAAGCAGUCAGCCAUACCGAGAGACGCACUGCACAGAGAAAACAAGAGAGUAAGAGAGAAAUCUACCGUGGUCCUUACCACUGGAGAAAGAAGCCAUCGAUGCAUGCUUGCUGUUGUCUAUAUCCAACUGCUCCUGGCCGGCUGCUUCUCCUUCCUCUUGUACGUGCAUGCUCUUUGGUACGUGUUUGGAUCUUGGAUGCAUGUAUGAGUACAAGUAAUUCUUCUACCUCUGGCCGCUGAUGCCUUAGGCGAGUCGGGGGCGUUCUUCGCUUGCCGCCGCCUUGGGCACAGCGUCUCGCUGCCCUCUGCCUAGGACACACACGGCAGCCCUUACCUGAUGCUCGAGGCUGCUGUGCAGUGCUGCCGCCUCGGGGCGCCUCCUCUCUUCUCUGCCCCCCUUUCAAUGGAUCCCAUGGUUUGUUUAUAUAGGCAGCAUGUAGGGCAUCAUGCGCAGGCAUCAGGAAGGUCGCAAAGCCAUUUUAGAAAGACAUGAUUACCUUGCUUGAUUGGCUGUUGAUAUUUGGAUGGAAAUUAUCCUACGAUCAGGAUCCGGUACUUCCUUGCAGUUUUCUUGUGAUGUAUGUUUUCUGUCCAGUUUGAGUCGGCACGUGGCGCUCAUACGCGGACGGCCAUACGCCGAUGGUUCGACCCGCACUAAACAGGACGAUCGACCUGCCUGAUCGAUCCAGCAUUACCUAGCUCAUGUAUUUGUACUUGACCUGUUUAGCAUAAGUAUGAAAGUCUAUGCAUAGUUGUGCACCUCUGUACGCCAUUGCCUUCCUUUGCAUGUAGCUGCUUAUUGUAUUUUAUUUUGCCUCUUUUGUAGUCAAGAUAAAAUACAAGAGUUUCUCACGCCAAGGCGUAUUCAUCCCACGUGCCUAUACUUAAGAUAGUACAAAAUCACAUCCCCCCCCUCUUGGGGACCUUGGGCGCCAUGGGGAAUGUGGGUGGCGAUUAGCAUGAUGAGGGGCGCAAGGAGGAAUGGGGAUGAGGAGAAAGGACUGGGGAUGAGUGUGAGCGCGAAGCAGAUCAGACUCGACUUGGUGAAAAUAAUUCCACUAACCAAUCUUGAUGCAAAUAUUUAUUGCUACCUUGAUUUACUUUCAUGAUAGCUUGGUAAAUUAGAUGAAAGCUGGUAUGGAUAUUGAGGUAAUUUGUUGGGCCGUGUAGCAGCUACGGCACCAGACAACAAAUUAACCUUAGUCUUUUUUUAAAUCCCGUGGCGAAAUACCAUGCCACGUUUUUUUUAGGAAUUUUAUCAAUUUAGCCACGACCGUUUGGCUGCCACGAUGCCAACCGACUAGAUUGAAGGGUUUCACAGAUUCACGCUUGCCGCACUGGCUCGUUGCACUGCUCCCAUAAAAACAAGAUGCAUCAAUGUAGCAGAAGUGCCGGAAGGCCCUUGGCGGGUGGAUGUACACUGGGAUACCUUUAGUGGACUUGAUUAAAAGAGGGUGGUGUUGCCCCCUUUAUUGUUGUUGAAGAUGAGGUGCCGAGAAGCCAUCGACGAUAUUCCCCCGGUGCAUGAAUGUUAUUGACCCCGACGUUCUUGGUGUACGUUGUUGUGGAGAGUUGGAUGCCGGGAAGCCAUCGGUGAUGACAUGGACGCCGUGAUGUUGCAGUCAGAGGGAGAUGUAACCUUGGAGCAGGUUCCACGGGUGCACCAAAAUGACGAUGUUGGCUGCACCAAGGGUGAGAAAAACAUAUGCAUGCAUGAUGGUAGUGACUGCACUAAGGGUGAGAAAUUAAUAUAUGCAAGCAUGUGUAUGAUAUUAUGUAAUAAAAAUAUGCAUUAAUUUUUGUAGCUUUUUUUAUGCAUAUGUUGGCCCUUUCGCUAAUCACCAGCUAUAUGUGUGACAUUAGAAAAGGCUGCCCAAGGACUUGCUCGUUGGGAGUCGUCACAAAACCAUGACGACAAUAAUCAAGCUUUUUUUGUGUGUGUGCUCGUGUGAAGACACCGCACUUCCAUGGUGCCUCUAGAGUACUGCGGGAAUUCAUACCCUAGACUUCACAGCAUCGACUAAACCCACAGCUACCUCACGGACCCAUCAGUGCCUCAAGAACCCAGAAACCUAUGUAGGGGUGUUUAGUGGAGUGGUUAUGGGAAACGGCUAGGCAAUUUUCUGAUAGACAGCCACCCUCGUCCUUUUUCUGGUGGAUCCCUUGUCUUUCAGGCCAUCGGACUUGGUGUUGUGACUUUCUCCAUUUGUUAGGAGUGCUUUGCUUGAACUUUCUUUUGCUUUUCCCUCUUUGAGGGUUUCUUCAACUUGUUGAUCUUGAUUUUUUUUGUGAGGACUGCUCGCUUGAACUUUCUUGAGGAAUGCUUCUUUGCAUGGUUGGGGGAUCCACCUUCAAAAUUGGGAAGGCGGCCAUCCAUCUAUGUGGACUAGGCAACCCUCAUAGACAUUUUUUUUGGCUCGUGAAAUGCACACCCUGGGGGCGUCAGAAGCUACACACUGUGCCCCUCUUGUGAAGGGUCAGGUAGCCUUCUUUGCUCCUUUUCCUAUAGUUUACCCCAGGGCGCGUUGCCCCCGGGAACUCGAGACACGUCAGGAGACAUGAGAUGCGUGGGACCUCGAUGCAUUGAAGUAUCCCAAGUAUUUUUUUCCGUGUCCUUUGAAAGCACACACUUGGUACGUGCCAUAUGUUGUGGGCACAGUUGCCGCUCCAUCGAUCUUGUGUAUUUUUUUUUACUUGUUUCCUCCUUUGGUCAAGUCCCGGAGCAGCAUAAUCUUCAAUCGUUAGCUGGUGUGAUGCGGGAGAGGCCUAUCUUUGUAAGGAAUUAAUUCCGGUUUAUGCACAUAGGUGAAAUAAUGCAAUGCAUGUUAUGUUGAUUUAAAAAAAUGCAAUUGCGAAGGCUAUGUUAGACAUAGCUCUUCCCGUGGAACCUGUGCCUGGUGAAGAUAUAUCGCACACGAGUGCGACUCGAUCCAAGGACGGAUGUCCUCUCCCACAGUAAAUGCCGAGGCACCCACAGAUGUUCGCUAGCUUGUUAGCCAGCCAAUCGCAGUCAUUGCCGGCCGGCGGCACAAGCAACGAGCAGUGCACCGUUGAGUCCGCUCGCGUACUCCGACGAGCUUUGGACGCAGGUCCUGACGUGGAGAAUGCAUGACGAGCCAGCAUGGUGACCCGCGGCCCCCUUCGAGGAACGCGUCGAUGGACCAUGUGGCGACGCAGUUCUCCCUGGCGAUGUCGUCCUCGGGAGAGUUGGAAAAGUCCGAUGUGCUUCGUUGGCCUUACCUGUGCCACAGGAUGCUGAUACGUCUGUUGCAUGUGUGCAUGCAUGCAUGCACCUUCCCGCAUGCAUGCGACCUGGACUCCUAGUCACGACAAAGAAAAUAGAAACAAAUUAAGGAGCCGGUUCUCCAUGGCCGGCAAACAGCUGGAUGCUGCCGGUGAGAUGCGCUGCCAUCCCUAGCACCGACGAGCAUGACUAGCUGGCGGCGUGGGCGCGGACAACUAUCACCGUGAAAUGUCACGGGAUGCGGCUCACCGAUGACGUCUUGGAUGUCGAGCGAGAUGGCGCCUCCGCCAACAAGUGUGAAGAGGCGGCACAACCCCUGCGUGAGGUACGUCAUGCAGGCGCCUUCGUCGGGCGUGGAAUGUCUGAGCCUCAAAAAGAGAUGCCUGGCCAAAUGAGGUGAAGAGUGCGAGAUAGCCCAUUAUCGACGACAACUACGUCAGGCCGACAUACACCUUGGCCGGUCGGAGUACGGCCAAGCAUCACAAAGGGAUGCCCCGGCCAAACGAGAUGACGAGUGCGAAGUAGCCGAGCAUCGACGGCACCCCCAACGACUAGCGUGGCUAGCAGUCGACCGUCAUCGUAGCGGGGCCAGGUGAACAAGCAUGAUGAAGCGAUGCUCUGGCCCAACCAGGUAGCUAGGCAUCGGGGUCGGCGAUUCUCUUUGCCAAGAACGACAAGCAUGCUCGGCCGACGUCAUGGCUAGGCCAUGACCUCCAGUGAAUUGACGGAAUUAAACUUCACGUCAUAGGAGGAGGCAGAAGCUAGCGAGGUCCCCGCACGGCGACGGCGCCUCCGUGAGCGAGACGGACGAGAGGCAUGCCAUUGGUUGAUCUUGACGUAUGCCUCGUUCGUCCCGGUCGUUCAUCAGCCGAUCUUCGUGGCCGACCUGAAGGAGAAAAAAAACAUGAAGGAUAAAGGAGAUUCAUUAACACCCGGCCUCGCGCGUUGCCUCCGCUCGAUGUGCAAUGCAACGGCGGCCAGUGGCGCGUGUGGCCGUCUCCGAUCGGCACACUACGCGUCCUUGCAUCUUGCCUCAUACGAGCAGCGUUGCGGUCUUGCCGCCGCCUUGGGCGCGCCGUCUCGCGGCCAUGGAUGAGGCUGUUAUACCUUGCUCCAAAGAUUACCGGUGAGUCCUAGCCUGCAUACAUUAGCUCGUUGUUGCUCUAGCUGACCAUGACAGGUGAUUGAUUCAUGCAUGCAUGUAUCUGUGUUGGCGUAGAUGGAUACAUGCAAACAAGCAUGCAUCAUGUAUGCAUGUGCAAACGGCUAGCCAUGCCAAUAGACACCAGGGUUGUCGACCGACCUCGUGGAUUUGAGCCGGCUACCGACAGCUCUCGGUGGAGGCCUCACGACCGAUUGCUCGAAGCUGGCGAGCCAGAUGCGAGCAAAGGGGUGGAGAUGUGGAAUUGUCGACGGCGUGGUCGACUAAGCACGUCAACCUGCAUGCAUGCAGUUGCAGGGCUUCUUGGUGGAACCUUGGGCAUCGGUUUGGUGAAGUCAGCGUUGAUGAUGACUGCCUCGACGAUGCCGUGGAGCACGUGUGAGGCUGCAGAGCGCAUGCCGUAGCAGCUUCUUGGAGCCGUUUCCUCAUUGACGUGGUCGACCCCCGCGUCUGGCCAAGCUAGGCCAGAUGUACCCAGCAGGCGCUUGCCCGUGAUCGAUGGAUCAGGCGCGCCUUUGGUCUGACGAGCAACCGUGGCCUUGUUCUAUUCUGCAUGCUGCAAGUCUGGAAAGAGGGAUAAGAAAACGGAAAAGGAUAUACACCAUUACAUGUUGACCCUCCAUGCCUCCAAGCAGGAAGGCCUCCGGGCGAGCAUUGCAAGUGUCGGCAUAGACGCAUGCCGGACAUGCGUGACUAUGGCCAUGCCAACUCCAGUGAUGUAACCGGUGCACCACGGUGAGUUCUCGAUUUCUUGGCGGCGUGUCGGAGAGCUCCUCCGGCCAGCAUGAGGCAACGCUCUCGCUGCUUGCAUGUAAGCCAUACAUUGAGCGCGUGGUAACGGCCACCCCCAAGCAUAACGGCACAUCGGUGGAUGCACACUUGACGAGCUUCUGGUUGCCGCCUGUGGAGAGUGGAGACACCAUCACUUAGUUUUAGGCAGUUGACAUCGCCUAGCAUCGGUCUUGAGGACCAGCAACUAGUAGCCUGCAUGUACGUAUGGAUUUUUGCCGCUCCAUGUUGGUCAAGCUGGCCAGUACGAGUAGGUGCUUAUUACCGUACGAGCUUGAGGGAGAAAAAGAUUAAUGCAUCGCAGACACAUGCAUGCAUGCAGCAUGCGUAUAUAUAGGACAGAGAUAUAGAGAGAAGGCCAGCAUGUUUGCAUGUAACCCUUCAUUUAGAGCAGGAAUUGAACAAGCUCUAUGUGAAAAUAUAUGCUAUCUUGAUCUUUUGCUUACCUGUAUCUCACCGAACAUUCACAUAGUACCGAUGGUGAUGGCAAUUGUCGUCGCAGACACAUGCCCGAGGAUCGGGAGAUUUUAUCAUGUCGAGGAGACUCGACGCUUGAUGAUGGUGGAGAGUUGAAGCAUCACCCUUCGCGUGUGGACUUUGGAGGGUAGAACAUGCCCCCGGCACGUUGGACUCCUAGUCAAUGUCGAUGAAGCCGGCGUGUCUCCUUGCAAACUGGAGUUACCUGCCCCUAAAGAGCUCCACCGCUUCAUGGUACGUAGUCGAGACAUGUAGAUGCCAUCAUGGAUGUCACCCGGACGAGCGACCCAAGAUGGAUCACGGGGACUUAGAGAAGGCCCCUAGAGGCUCAAUCCUCAUGGCCUCAUCACCCAACCAUGGAUUUCACUCACCAUCUCAUACGUAGGAGAAGCUUGAAGAAGAAGAAGACGACCACUGUUGCGCAGCAAAGAUGGGAGGAGAACCAUGUCCCACCGGGCGUGCCAAUUUGUUUGACACGAAAAAUACUUAAAAAAGUAUCUCUCAUGCCCGGUGGAAAUAAAAUGCGGGCGUGCCAGUGCACCUAAAUACACAAAUAAAAUAUAGGAAAAUAUGCAUUUUAUUAUCUCACUUAGAGAAACAAAUUACAAUUUCCCUUGAUGGAGGGCUCUCCGUGGCCUGCCAGCGCGGCCAAUAUGACUUGGCCGAUUGUGGUGUCUUGGUUCACGGGGCCUCGUAAAACUCCUGCUUAAUUACUCCCGCGGAUCGAGCCGCGAGACACCUCCGAUUAAGCUGCUGAAAUGGUCGUCAUCUUCAAGUCUCAUCUUCUCCGUGUGCUUGACGUAGACGGUGGUGAUGUGGAGGUGAGUUGGAAGGGUGGAGCGGUAUGCCGCGCCCCGGUGAUGCUUAGCCGUAGACCUCCGGCUUGUCGUUGUCCGAUGAUGAAGAGAUGUCUAAGCCUCUUCGGCUUAGACGAGUGGGCGGCCUUCGCCUUGUCGGUGCUGGGCCUGGUGAUGUCAUGGUGUGGACGGGAUGACUUGCCAUCACCUCAUCGGUGCAACCAAGUAACAUACUUACUUCAUCGAAGAAGGACUAGUCGGUGGAGUAAAGCCUCGCCUCGUAGGCACUUGGACGAUGUUGGGGAUGACUGUCGGAGUAGAUAUCGGUGGCGGUGUAGACUGCGAUGUGCCAUGGUGGACGCCGUGUAUGGCGGUGUCACGAUGGACACCACGUAGAGGGACGCCCUGAGCAGUGGCGUCUAGAAGGAUACCAUGUCGGUGAAGAAUGCGCCAACCCGGGUUCCACGCAUGGCGGAACGUGAAGAGGAAACUGUCCGCAAGCCUGCGGUGACAUGUCGCCGUACUCCCUGUGGAUAUAUAUAUGCGCACAAGAAGGGUGACUCUUAUCUGCUUAGAAAAUAGUUAGAGGUUCUCAAGAGUCAUGUGCAUGUCCAACAAGGACACACGCAGGAAAUGCUUGAUGCCGUCACGUAGUGUCGUCGGCAGUGCUCUGAGCAAAGAGCACGCCAAAGCUGUGUGGUAGCUGAGCAAGAUGUCACCUCCAGCAUGAGGUGUCUGAAUGUUGAUGGCGCCUCCCUGAGGCCGGCGCCUUGGCUGCUGGCGAGCGUGACAAGACGACGUCACAGCUGCGCAAGGCCGCCGAGCAGCCAACCACGGCACCUCCGUUGCCAUCGGAAGUGUCAAGAAACACAUGGAGUGUCGCCUUCUGCACCAGCAGAUCUUGGUGACCUCAACGCGCCGGCACCGGCGGGAUGUGUGUUAGCAGGCCUGGCAACUCAGCAGCGCCCGCAUCGGUGAGGACCGAGGAGCCUGCCGAUAGGUACCGCACGUCGGCAGCCUCGGCAUGUUGGCCGUGAUCAACAAAGCAGUCAGUCGUACCGAGAGACGCACUGCACAGAGAAAACAAGAGCGUAAGAGAGAAAUCUACCGUGGUCCUUACCACUGGAGAAAGAAGCCAUCGAUGCAUGCUUGCUGUUGUCUAUAUCCAGCUGCUCCUGGCCGGCUGCUUCUCCUUCCUCUUGUACGUGUGUGCUCUUUGGUAUGUGUUUGGAUCUUGGAUGCAUGUAUGAGUACAAGUGAUUCUUCUACCUCUGGCCGGCUGAUGCCUUAGGCGAGUCGGGGGCAUUCUUUGCUUGCCGCCGCCUUGGGCACGGUGUCUCGCUGCCCUCUGCCUAGGACACGCGCGGCUGCCCUUACCUGAUGCUCGAGGCUGCUGUGCAGUGCUGCCGCCUCGGGGCGCCUCCUCUCUUCUCUGCCCCCCUUUCAAUGGAUCCCUUGGUUUGUUUAUAUAGGCAGCAUGUAGGGCAUCAUGCGCAGGCAUUAGGAAGGUCGUAAAGCCGUUUUAUAAAGACAUGAUUACCUUGCUUGAUUGGCUGUCGAUAUUUGGAUGGAAAUUAUCCUACGAUCAGGAUCCGGUACUUCCUUGCAGUUUUCUUGUGAUGUAUGUUGUUUGUCCAGUUCGAGUCGGCGCGCAGCGCUCAUACGCGGACGGCCAUACGUCGAUGGUUCGACCCGCACUAAACAGGACGAUCGACCUGCCUGAUCGAUCCAACAUUACCUAGCUCAUGUAUUUGUACUUGACCUAUUUAGCAUAAGUAUGAAAGUCUAUGCAUAGUUGUGCACCUCUGCAUGCCAUUGCCUUCCUUUGCAUGUAGUUGCUUACUGUAUUUUAUUUUGCCUCUUUUGUAGUCAAGAUAAAAUACAAGAGUUUCUCACGCCAAGGCGUAUUCAUCCCACGUGCUUAUACUUAAGAUAGUACAAAAUCACAUCCCCCCCCCCCCCUCUUGGGGACCUUGGGCGCCAUGGGGAAUGUGGGUGGCGAUUAGCAUGAUGAGGGGCGCAAGGAGGAAUGGGGAUGAGGAGGAAGGACUGGGGUCUAAGUGAUUGCCCCACAGCACAGCGAUGGGGUUUUAUGGCACCCUAGCGCUGAGCAACAGUCACAUCCGCACCCUACGGGUGAGCUGGGGAUAACUGCGUUUUAAGAGGGGAAUGCGCGACGUGGCCUUAACUACCCGCAGUUAAGGGGAAGACUAGGGCGGAAAUCUCGCCCCCACCACUCUGCCCGUAACGGCGGAGUCCCUAGAGCAGUACAUGGUCAGGAACCCGAAAUGACUUGGGACCCACGCGUCGGUUAGGGCGUAGCCCGGCAACCGACCAAGGAUGAUUUCGCCCGGGAACAGGCGUUGCCAGCCCAUGCCUGGGGGCUACUGUCGCACCAGUGGCACCUGGGGUACCACCGUUGCUCAAUGCGUGGGUCGCCUCGCUUGCUCCCCGCAAGGACGGCACCCGGGGCAGCACAGUGCGAGCUGCCCGGGAAGCCACCAGCCCGGUAGGAGCCUUGGAAGGGGGCUGCCCUGGAGCAGAACUAGCCAGGCUGCGGGGGUUACACCGGAUGACAGCGUGAAGAUCCCCGUCAGGACUCCCCCCGGGAAGCUCACUUGCCGGGGAGGGUGUCUCCUGACACAGGCACUUACAACAGGGCCGGUGCCCAGUGCAGGCAGAGUAUCGGCGCCACAUGGCCGCCCCGGCAGGCUCCUUUUGUGCAGGGCUGGUCGGAGCGUGGAGUGUGGCACAAGCUGAGCAUUAAAUGCUCCGACAGGGAGGUGGUUUCCUGUCUAGUCAACCUACAGUGAGUAGCUCGCAGUGAAUCUAGGACACCUAUCGCCCCAGCUACAGUGCGUUUUACCGUGCAUGCAUGCCAGCGCAGCAAAAAGGCAAGCUGCCUUGAGUCUUUGUUCAGCGCGUGUCCAAAAGCACGUCCCCCAUGCAGACCGAGACACCUGUGGUAUCCCCUUGGCUAUAAAAGGAGGACCGAGGCCACUGGUCAAAGGGUUGGACUCAAGCUAGGUUACGAUCCCUAGAGAUUUAGUCCAGAAGUAGUAAGCAGCCAUUUAGCAGAAAGGAAGAGAGCGCCCGGGGACUCCUCCGGCAACCUGUAAACACUUGUUCAUUGGCUAAUACAUACUCAGAAGCAGGACGUAGGGUUUACACCUCCGGGUGGCCCGAACCUGGGUAAACUGGCUUAAACAUUGCAACGCUCGUCAUUGGCCUCGCCGGCGAUCGCCGGAGCGAUCCCCAUCGCUCACUGCCGAACCUAAAAGGGGGUGCCUAGCAUCCCCGGUGUCUAAGCCCCUAGCUACGACAGAUAUGCAUGCAAGCACAUACGGGCGGCACGUUUUUUGCUCGAUCCCCCAAAUAAGUACAGCCGUGAGAUCGAAGUUGCAUGGAGAUGAUCAAUAUAUUGACCCCGAGGCAACAACUACGACACAAAUGUCUUGUAGAGACAUUUUCUUUGAGUUCAUCAGGUGUACACUCUUCGUCUCUACUAAUUUGCUGUAGAGACGAUUAUGAGACAGAGUUUCAUGUAGAGGCAGUCAUAUGAGGCGUUGUAGAAAAUGUUCUAAAUAUAGAGACACUAGUUGAGACAUUAUGGUGUAGAGACAUUUUUUGAGGCAUUUAACAGAUUGUGGCAAAAUUCAUAUAGGGUCAUUGUUUUGAGAUAUUUGAUGAAAUGACUUUAUGGUAUGGUUAGAUACACUAUUUGAGACAAAUCUUAUGUUGUGUAGAGACAUUCUUAGACUACUCAUAAUAAUUUCACUACAAGUAUGAGCAAGAAUUGGUACCAGGUUGAAAUGGUUAGGUGAGUGUGUAGUUUUUUUUAAGGUCUUGAGUUCGAUGAUUGGUUUCAACAUGAUUUUUUCAAUGUAUAUUUUCUAGUACCUGAGUAUAGAGACACAAUGUAACAUGUUUACAAAAUGUCACAUUGAAUGUAGAGACAAUAUAGUGUCUCUAUAAAAUGUCUAAAAACUAUAAAAACACGAUGAAGUGUCUUUACAAAAUGUCGUAUUCAAUGUAGAGACACUAUGUUAGUGUCUCAUUUCACAUAACGACACUGCCCGUGAAGACAGUUUUGUGACACUGCACCAAAUGUGUUUAGAGUUAUGUAGAGACAAUUACACUGUCUCUACGAACAAAAAUAAUGUCUCUGCAGUCAAUUUUUGUUGCAGUGACUAUACACCUGCAGGCCUGCAGCUAGCCAUUUGAUCGAUCCAAGUCAAUCUUAAUCGGUCUGCAUUUGAACCGAUCGGGCCUUGUCAUGUGAUGUGAGGAUGUUAAUUAAUGGGAGGAGAAGUUGCAGGGUAGGCAACUCGCGGUCCGCUGCAUGCCACACGAUCUACGGUCACCCGGUCGAGAGCGCCGCGCUUUCCACACGGUCCACCGUAUACCGGAUCGAUGUUGAUGGAUGGGGUCUAAGAUUCUACUAACACAAUACUCAGAAAAGAUCCAAACGGAGAAUAUGUUAUUCACGGCGCGCACCUCAGCACAAUACUCAGAAAAGAUCCAAACGGAGUACUAUAAUAUUCUACGUGGGACAAGCCAUGGCUGUGCGCCUGUGCCUCGCUGUAGGUCAGGUGCCUCUUCUCAAGAGGCGAUCAAUAUAAUUUUUAUUGCUCAGCCUAAUUGAUAAUGAUACGUAUAUAUAUUGCCUAAAUUUCCACACGCUUACGACUUGGGGAAACUAACGUACAUUGUGUUAACCAUCUGUACAAUUCAUGCCAUUUUCUAGAGCGAAGGAUCUCUGACAGCAAGAUUUAUAACAUUAAUUAGUUGAAGAUCAGACAGGGUUCUGGGGGAAAGAUGAUGGAAAGUUCACUCAGGGGCCCUUAGUUAGGAACCGUAUGUAUGUGUUUGUCAUGUUGAGAGGACUUAUUUCCAGAGUGCAUUCUUCAAGGAAUUAAGCAACGCCAUUUGAAUUACGGUUACAUAUGUAUGUUUUGACGUAUUUUCUUUGCAGGGAAGAUCCAGGAAAGCACGGUUAAUUAGUCGGAAGACCCAGUACCACACUGGAGCAGUUCUUCCGAGGAGUGAAUACAACCUGCACAUUUUUUAUUUAUUUUUGAGAGAAGGUGUGUAAAUUAAUCGAGAGACAAGUUACAUGCAAUCAUUCGUAACCUGGCACAUCAUGCAGGACGGCACAAAGUUACAUAACACACCUUCAACGCACACCUUACUACAGAAACUAGCGAGCUCAUGGGCUACAGAGUUGUUCUCUCUCUUAGUGAAAAAUAAAACGGAUACUACGAUCGGAAGUGGUGAAACGAAGGAUAUCACCCACAACUGAACAGAAAGCAGAACGGUUCUGUGAGGAAAAAGUGAGGACCUGAAUCAAAGAAAUACAAUCGCUUUCAACAAUAAUGGGUACAUGACACUGCUUCUCAACAGACCUUAUGGCAGAUGAAAUUUCCAGAAAUUUUGCAGUGCGUUCACGUACGUACACGUAUCCGUAUCCGGUAUCCCUAUAUAUAUAACCCACACGGCCGGCCACAUGAAUUCAUCCAUCAAGCAUUUAGCAAGAGAAAACUCAAAACUAGCUAGCAGCUGUAGACGCCCAAAAACACGAUCGAUCCAAGGCCUCCAAGACGUACUGAACAUGGCGAAGGGUACGUGAGAGCGAGCCUCCAUCCAUUUCGCAUGUUUUUCAUCCAUAUACGUGUCAACAUAUCAUAUACUCUCUCCGUCCAACAAAAGAUGUCUCAACUUUUUGUUAGACGGAGUGAGUACACAAGUUAGCUAGCUACUACCUACUUAGUAUAUUUUCUCUGAUGCAUUUCGUUUCGUAUACUCUUAUCUUCAUUACAUAUAUACAUGCAGCGAUGAAUAAACCUGUGCCUGCACUUUCACGGCCACCACCGGCACCCGGUCCCUAUGAUGAUCGAUGCCCAGGCCCAGCGUAUCCUGCGCCGCCGGAGUCCGGGAAAAAGGCGCCGUCGCCGUCUGCAGCAGGUACUUGUGCAUGGGCAACUCUCCAUCGAUCCCUUUCUUAACUACUCUGUAUUUGCACCUUUCUAUCUAUCUUUCUUUCUUGUCUCUGAUGAUUCGUUGCACCUUUUAUGGACACCUUUUGCAUUCGUGCGGUUCAUAAAUUAAGGCAAAGGGUUGAACGCUUCCGUGCCCACCCGCGGGAACAAACCUGAUGAAGCUCGUGGUGGGGGUCAGACCAAAAAGUGAGUCAACACAAGUACCAAUCUGUCCAUCAAACAUUCAUGUUAACGAAUUUAUACUUCGAAUUGAUUGUGAUUGGCUACGAAAGCACUGAAAAGUUCCCUUUCUUUUCAGGCGAUAGCGCGCAUAUCUAAGUGGUGAUGCAUGCAUGAUCGUCUACGCAUGCAUAGGCCUUGGCCAAGAAAACCAUCACACGGUUCAAUUCGUCUGUCAAUUACUACCGCGUAUUAUAUAUUCCCUGUUGAGAAAAUUUAUGUGUGUAUGAAGUGUGUAACCAGCAAAAGUAGAUCACAGACGUAGCUACAAAUUCCAAUCAAGUAGGAGUAUUUCAUUUGUUCAUGUAUGUUAAUAUUUUUCUAUAACACAUAUGUACAUAUAACAUGUAAAUAUAUGAAUUGUUCAAUUGUAUUGAAUAAAUAUUCGAUCUAUCCGGUGUUUAUUUUCUUACUCAACACGCAUGCGCGUUAACGAACUUCAGUCCAAAGACGCAUGCAGUGCUUGGAUACUUCCAACUGAAUACGUACGUUAACGAGUACUGUAACUGGCGAUGCCGACAAAACAAACACGAGCCCUACGGGUCAUCAGUUGAGCAGCUAGACUUGACUUAAUUAAGGAAGGAUCGAUGUAAGCGUACAUUCCGAUUUUCAAGAGUUAAAAAAAAUGCAAGGGAGGUUCAACAUGUACAGAUGUUAAUAAAAUGUCUAAAUUAGAGUUUCCUAAAUUAAUUUUAUAUGUUUUCGGAAAUAAUUUUGCAUGAGGAUAUAUAGGGAGUCCGAGCAGCUCCACCGCGCUUUGAUUCUGCAUCAAUCGACCGUUUCUCCCCAACAUAAAAACGCCAAAUAUAAUCCCGUCCACGACUCAAUUCAAGGAUUCAAGCACCCAACAGCAGCAGGAUACGUUCGUUACGGCCGUCACCUUCGCUGGAGACCGUCCUUUACCGGCCAAGGCAUCACCGUCAACGACCAGUCUCCGGUGACCACAAAUCAAGGCCUCUAGGAUUAUUACUGCGAUGUCAUCAGGACGCUACCUACAGGUGCCGUGGUUUUCAAAAUCUAGAGUAUAAUUUGAACUAGGUGCAAAUAUGUUUCAGUAUUAUUUUUUUGUUUAUUCGUAUUUUGUUAAUAUUUGUUUAACGGAUCCAUUUUUCUAGCCUAUUACCCCUGAUAUGUGUGGAUCGAUUGACGAAGGGGCCAGGACCCAUUCCACGUUUUGAAAAUAAGAGCUUAUCAACCCUGAUAUUUAGGGGGUUGCUAAUGUAGUAUUGGUUAUAUUUGUUCAGGAAUCCUUGUUGCAAGUAGACGGUACAAUUUCAGUAGGAUUGGUAAAAAAUUAUACUCUGAUCCUAAAUUUUUGACUCAAAUUUGCCCAAAUAUGGAUAUAUCUAUUCUUAAAAAAGCGUCUAGAUACAUGUAAUAUUUCGACAACAAUUUAGGAUCGGAAAGAGUACAGUUUACUGUUUUACUGCUGUAGAUUUUAGGUACCCACCGUAGUUUUGCAGGGUUGGUAAAAAAUUGCUUAUAUUAGAUCUUGGUUUUGCUUGUUAUGGUGGAAACGUGAGUUUCUGUGGCAAGUGAACCCCCUCCACUUCACCACCUUGAUCUCCAUCCGUCACCAUUGUAAGUCCUACAAUGAAAUUGUAGAUGACGAAUAAAUUUACAUGAAAUUUGUUACAUUAAUAAACUUUGUGCUUGCACAUACCAAUACUGUAGAUGACGAAGAUGAGCACAAAAUAACUGGAACUUGAAUAGCCCAUAGAUCUCGUCCGUCAUCACUAUAUUGGAUCUAAACUAAGUGCAACACCAGAGUGUUGAGACCAUGGCAAGAACUGUCCAAAGAAAGGACUAUGGCAACAAAAAUAAAUUGGCAUGAAGCAUGAAAUAAGCCGUUCUAAAACAAUCUCAAUUUAGAUACCACUCAGAACUAAACAGCAUGGUAACAUCUAACGACAUGGUAACAUCUGAUGACAUCAUUAGAGAGUUACAGCUACCAGGCAUGUCUAAUCAACCUCCUCUUCAGUCUCUCAUAACUAAACUCGUGUCUAACAACAGCAUUGAUGUUGAGAAGGCAAAAACUACUGACAGCAACAGAUGAAAGCAUGUAUAUCUAUCCUGGCAAAGCACCAAAUUCUAAUGGCCUGAAUAAGGCGACGAGCAGUCUUGGAACUCUGUGGCUGUGCUCGAUUCAAAAAUGGUGCGUGGAAGGACAAACUGGUCAUCAUCAAAUGAUGUAUCAUCGACGGGGUCACUGCCUCUCUGCCUCUUAACUGGACGUUCAUGCUCUGGACUGAGAGUUGGGGAACUAGGCCGGCUACAGUCAGGGGUUAGUGGUUGACGACACGCGAGAGGAUCAUCGUUAGGAGAGCUCUUUGUUAGCUCAAUUUGAUUUUUGUUGUUCUUGGUGGAACCGUGAACUCGAGAUUCAGAUGUCAGUCCGGGAGUUGAUGGGUUAGUUCUCUCGGAAUCAGGCAUUUGAUCACUUGAUGUGGCUCUGGAAGGUCCUGCAGCAGUGAUGCGCUGCUGCUCUUCAAUGAUCUUCUGGAGAUACUUGCCCUGUGCCUCGAUUCGUAGCUGCAGCUGCCUUUGCACCUGCAAGAGAUGUUUGCCAGCUCACAUUAGAACCAUAAUUUACUGUUGGUUUCUUAAGUAAACGGAAGAUUGCACAUAUUUAUACAGUCUACAUAUGUAAAUGUAAACAAACUCUUAAACAUAUUUUUAAACAGUACUCCCUCCCCAAAAUACGAGUCAUAUAAGUUUUAUCCUAAGUCAAAUAAAAGUUUGGUCAAGUUUAUACCAAAAACAAAAUCAACAUCUACAAUGCCAAAUACAUAAAUAUGAAAAUGUAUUUCAUGAUGGAUCUAUUGAUAUUGAUUUGGUAUUCUAGAUGUUCAUAUUUUUUCUAUAAACUUGGUCAAACUUAGGACAAAACUUUUAUGACUUAUAUUUUGGGUAACCAAGUGGAAGGGUACCGCAGGCUAGCAAAAUAGAGUAGGAUAAUGGCAUAGCGAGAUUUCUUCUCAUAAAUUAUUGAAGUCUUUCAGUUUGAAAAAUAUAUGAAUUGGUCCGAUGAGAGGAGUUCUAGUGUUACCAAUGCGUGGCAGUGCAGCUGUAGCAGUACCAAAAUGUUACUAAAAAGAACAGAAACUUUUUGGUAACAUUGAGCCUCUAUGUAUCUAUCAUGACAAAAAUUUCAAAUUUAAUCUAAGCAGUGAGUUAAAAAAAAGACAAUUUUGCUGUAAAUAGUAUCAACAGAGAGAGAGAGAGAGAGAGGAUGAAAUACUACUCACUGCAGAAUUUUUUUUCUUGCUUUUUACAUGUGUUGCAUUUUGAUUUGAAAUUUUGUAGUAGUAUGAUAGAUAAUAUUACAACUUUGGUAGUAGCAGCACCACAAGGCUUGGUGGCACUACUAGCACUAAAACUUCCUUCAUGGUCUGAUUUUGACUCUUAUCACUAUAUACCUAUCAAUGGUCGUAACUUGUGAAUUCUUAACUAACAUCUAUAAAAAUCGUAAAACUUUUCUACUAGGGUAUAUUAGUCAGAGAUGAAGGCAUAUAAUGCAAACAUUUAUAUGCUGAUAGUCUUUUUCCCGCAUACCAAGGAGGCUUAGGCGCUUAGUGCAGGGUUAGAAUAAGAUAUCCAAACUGACUCACUUAGCUGGACAAUACACAUUGUAGGAGAUCGCCGAUUGAAGCAUUUAGUCUUUCAUUUCAACACGUGAGCCAAUUAAAGGAGAAAGCGCAAGCAUCUCACCCCGCGCGUGCUCAGCUAAAACUGUAAAAAAAAAACUCAAUUUUCUCUUAUCUUUUGAAAUUGUGAGCCUACUAAAAGACAAAGCCGCAAAUUUUCUCUAACACAAUUUUUAUCACAAGUUUUUGUACCUGAUGGUUUUCAACCAUUUUACCACUAGUCUAAGUGAUUGCACAGUAAAAAAAUGCUCGGAACUGGAAACAACAAUAGCUGUGAGUUUCAUAUCACAACUUUAACUUCAAAAGAAAUGGCAAAAGCCUUAGCUUACCUCUAAUUGUUCAUGCAACCGCUUCUGGACCUCCAUCUGGAGCUUCAAGGCUUCAGAUAUUGGCAUUCCACUGCAAUAACAUAACAUAAAUGAUAUCAAUAACAGUUUCCUAGGAACCUGGUAAAAAUAAAUAAGAGGGAAAACUAAUAAAAAGACCACACUAUAUAAUGAAGUAAUGUGUACUGAACAAUCGCAACAUGCAGAUGUUUAAAUUAAUAAAGUGGUUUAUCUACUAUAAUCAGUUUAUUUUGACUAACUUUAAUUUAGUUCCCAAAGUUAUUUAACUAUUUAUGCACUCGGAUGCUACAUGCUAUUGACUACUAAGCCUCGGAUGGGUAGUAAGCAAGCAAUCAAGCAACACUUUCAGGUUCAAGGAAAUUCAACAAAAUUAGGUCUGUUGACUUCAUUGCAACAGCAUUGCAACUAGUACUAACAACGCAAUGUUUAUCGUGGCAAAAUAAAAUUGCAACAGCAUCAAUACAUAAGUUGUUUAGUACUUCAUUCAUUUCCUUCAAUAAUAAAGAGUCCAGAAUUAUAUUUCGGUAUUUAUGAAAUAUUUGUUAUAAUGCUGUAAAUUGUACUCCCUCCGUCCCAUGUUAAGUGACUUUCUAUUACAUGUAUCUAGAUGCUUAAACGGAAAUCGCAAGAAACGAUUGAACUUCAGACCCGUUGUUGCUUUAAAAAAUUCAAGUACAAACAAUAUGGCCUAUUAAACUGGACAUAAAAAGGGUAAAUCAUUUAACUUACGAGGAACCUUCAAGUGCUGCAAGCAAAUCCCCUGGAUCUCUUUCUUCAGCUUUGUUGUCUACAUAAGGAAUAUAAAUUAGUGAAGUUUAACAUUAAUAGACUACCACUCUUUCUAGAAUGUAGAUAUAACAAGAUGAAAAUGAUUGCCUACCAUCACUGGCUGAUGGGUCUGGAAUGUACUUCGCAAGACGGUAUUUCUAGAUAAAGAAAGGACAAUGGUUAGGGAGAAACAACAAAGAUAGUCAAGCUGGUAAAGGGUUAUUUGUAAAUAAAAAAAACAAUAUACCUGUAGGUGACUUUUCACAUGGUAUAUUGUGAGUCCUGGCACACCCAUAAUUUUCAGAACUCCUUUCGGAGUGGCUCCUGCCACAUUUCAACAAUUAUAUUAUUCACGAUGCAGUUACUCAAACUAGCCAAGUAAUUAAGAAAACGGUUCAAUUAAAUAUGUAGAUCAUAAGCUAAUAAAGUAUUCCUCUGUUUCACCAUGACUUUCCAGGGCCUCGGAAGUAUCUGUUUUAAAAUAAUUAUCUAUUGUAGGAAUCAAUAGUGUAGGAUGUCAUUUAAAUUUUAAUAGGCAGCACAUCCAUGGUCAUUGCUUGCUAAGUGCUAACUCUUUCUUAGAUUUAGUGUUUUCUUCGUCCGAGUGCAUGCUGGGCUGAGGACAGUUACAACAAAAUUGUGAUCAAAGUUGUGUUUUGACUUUUCAUGACCAUGGUGAUGUUACAACUUUGGUUUCACAUGACCAAGUAUGGCUAUCCACUUUCCCUCAACAGUGAGUUUUAGUAUUCAUAGUUCUGUACCACAGUACAAUAAUGCAGAUCACUGAAGUAGAAAAAGUCCACCCUAUUUAGCAAACAUGCAAAUAUUUUGCCAGAGAAGCGCGAGCAUGUCUUUAUAUAGCAUGUCUAUGCCAAACCCGCAGGGUCACAAUCUAUGUAUUCCAUGCAGCACGUUGUAUCAUUCUCUACCUAUCAAUGAAAUGAUAAACAAAUCUUCUGUGGAUUAAAAAUAUACUCAACGAGAAAUAAUAGUGAAUUCAACUUUUUACCCCCUAGCUGUGACUUUGCGACAGCUUUUACCCCAUUUAAAAAUACUUCUACAUUUUACCCUUUCGUUAAAAAUACUGAGAACUUUUACCCCAGACCCCAAAUCAACAUAUAUAACGCGGCAAGUCGGUAACUGACUGGCAGACAACUCAGACACACAAUCAUUAAAUUAUGUUCAGUUCUGUCAAAUCCUUCUAAAUUCUGCUACAUUCUGUCAAAAUCUGACACCAAAGUCACAAAUUUUAACAAAAUUUGAUCAAACUUCACAUAAUAUGGCAGAAUCUAACAUAUUUGAUGUGCCACAAGGAUUAUGCGUUCAAGUCGUCUGCCCAGUUAGCUGUCAUGUCAUCCUAAUAUGUGGGUCAAGUUUGUUUGGGGAAAAUAAUAAAACAGAGUACAGGCUGUCACGAAAUCAGAACUAAAGGGUAGUAUUUUCUUAAUGGGGUAAAAACUGUCACAAAGUCACAGCUAGGGGUAAGAAAAUGGAAUUCACACUAAAUAAUAAGAGAAGCAAUAAAAAGUGAAUAGAGAAGUUGAAGAAUCAAGUACGUACUAUCCGGCCCACCAAGCUGAGUAACAGCCUCCACAAAUCGGUCAUGCAGCUCGUUUGUCCAACGUAACCGUUGCCUUGAUGCCAUGUUAGGGUUAUCAUUUCCCCCAUUACAAGGCACCAUACUCAUACUGGUGCCCCCUAGCUCCAUUUGUUCAUGAGCAGCAGGACUGCCAUGAUUAUGACCAAUGCUAGAAAUUUGAUUUGGCUGAUACAUUGCACUUGCUCGUCGCCUGAAAUACAGACGACUUAAGAAAAUAAUACGGCAUGCCAUGAUUAAACAAAAGGGCAAUUUGGCAAGACAGUCAAAUCUUAUAGGCUCAUUCAACAUUUCAUCCACCAUAAAGCCCACGAAUGCAAAAGAACGCCAUAACUAUCAUUUUCCACGAGGCUCAGCCUGUCGUUUACUAGUAGAUUUGUGCCUAAAUAUGUGAAUGACACCAACAAACAUACUUUGAACUAAGCCUGAUGCCUUGAUUCACAGUUUACUGUAGCUGGGGACUGCAGAGGAACACUUGUAUGCUGAUUCACAGUUUCAUGCCAAAUGCGGCAAGAAUUAAACGAUCCAAUUAACAUAUGCUAGCAUGGUCUCAGAAAAAAAAAACUAACUGGCUACACAAGAACCUACUUAAUUCACUAUAGGUGACAGCAUUUAUUCAACCACACAUAACAACGAAAUACAAAGCGUGACAAACAAGUCCAUGGGGCUUAUCAAUGUGUGGCAUCUCAGCAUUCAGGAAGCAAACGGCAGCUACGACCACGAGAGGAUGUCUCUCUAUCCUACCAGGGUUAUCACCUCAUACCGGAUCUGGCAAUAGGCGGUCAGGGCUAAGGUGCGAAGUUAUCCCAGCACUGCAGGGUCUUCUUUGGGGGUGGUGGAAGGUUGGCAAGGCCGUUAUUGAGCCACCUCCUUCUGCAAACCAGAAAACUCUGAACUUCUUUGUAGUGCUGGAUCCUGAAUACUAGUGGUGAAGAUUUUGGUUGGUCUGCAGCGUCCUGGGAGCAUGCAGGAUGGCAUCAAUGGUUAUAUCUGUUGCAAUGUGCAUCUAGGGGGCAGUUGUUGUCUUGUCAUGGGUGUUUUUGUAAGCAGCCUAAGAAAGCAUUAAGUUUUUUUUGAAAAACAAACAAAUUGGCAGUUUCUUAAAAUUGGACGGCCAGGAACAAAAGUUGGAAAGAAGCUUCCCCACAGAGAAACCCCCAUUCUUGAAACCGAAGGGGACUGCCGACUGCCUCCUCAGACCUUAGGUGCCAAUACGGUCGACCAGGGGGGAACCCCCGCCAAAUACCCUAGCCCGCAGGAGCUCGUGGGUUGAACUAAUCGGAGAAAGUCGAAAUCUACCGGCAAACCAGCUCACCAAGAAACUUGAAGAAGCAGCAAUCCAUGGAUGGAGAACAGGUGGGUGGAUCCCUGGAAAUGCGGAACGCGUGGGGGAGGAAGACGAGAAGGGAGAGGAAGCUACUAACCAAGAAGGGAGAAGAACUGAAGGAGGAUGCUCGUUCGUCUGUCACUCCUUUUCUCUGAUUCUCUCAGUCUCUCUCGGCGAGAGGGAACAUGGAGGAAGACCAAGUGAGGGGUAGGGUGCAGAGGCCGGGGAGCCCCCUUUUCGGAAAAAAAAAGCGAGGGGUAGGGGAGCUCCCUUUUCGAAAAAAAAAACUGAGGGUAGGGAGGGGUUUGUUCAUUUCAUUUUAUUUCCUUUCCCAGCCCUUUCAGAGAAGUUCACGAUUAAUAAAAACGACCUCCAUCGAUUAUACUCUUCCGCCCAAAAUAAGUGACAUGAAAUUCUAUUUGCAGUCCAUCAAAAAAUAACGCCAUCAAUCCAGUAUCAUGUGUGUUUAGCGAUCGACCAAUAUCUUCUCUAGAUCUAAGUACUUGUAAAAAGCGCCUUGACAGACAUCGCCAAUUGAGCAACAACCUUCCCGCUUCUUUCCUCCCGCGCCGUCAUGAAAGGCUCAGGUAGGUUCUUGCCCUUCGGCAAAGGGGCGAGCAAAGCGACAAGGGUGGGUUUGGGAUUUGGGAGAGCUCGGGAGAGAUCUUGAUGGGUCCAGACGGAUAUGUUUGGGGGAGAUAGAUGAGAAAAAUUAUGCAUGUUACUACCGCUAGUGUUUGAUGAAAGAAACUAUUUCUUGUUUGGUAUGUUGUGCUUGAUGUUACUGCUACUCUUUGUUGGUACAGCUUAAUCAAAUACGGAGUAUAUGAAUUUUAUUGUGCCCUUAAUGCAGGGUGUCCUGAUGGAUGGUACAGGCGAUACGUUUUCAACUUUGUGAACUAGGGAAGCAAUUCCAAAAUGUUGGAAUGCGGACUUCGUUGAACCAAUGGAUCAUAGUCCAUUGGCGAGAUCGAAAAAUUUCAAUGUUGAAAAGACAAACUUCUGGUUGAGGCAUUAUAGAGAUUGGUAUGGAUGUAGUGAUAGGGAACGAGCAAUUUUGUUAUAAUACAAAUAUUAGGAGAGAAUUCAUGUGUAUUUUCACAAGAACAAACAAUUUCCGUUCACUAUUCAUGAAAGACACCAACAAGUUCCAUGCAUUCUCAACAAGACAUCGACGACAGAUUCACGUGUUCCAAACGGAGCCUGGAAUUUGCACAGAUAAGUCCAUCUUUGCAGUGGCACAGCUAACCAAAAUGCAUUGAAUCGGAUGUUGGAAUUCUGAAUUCCAUGUUAACACAGCAUUAAGAAAGUCUACUAGGUAUUGGACAUUAACAAAAGUCAGUUUUAGACAUACUGAGAUAGACCAACUUUGUUCUUCAACUAACACUAAACAGUUACCGGGGUCAUAACGACAAUUAGGCUUUGCCAGUUCCAGGUUUGCACAGCCUGGUAUAGUCGGCGGGAGGAGGAGCUCAAGGGAUCUGGAACCCAGCAGAUGCUAGAUCUGGCAGGUCAUAGUCAGAGAUGCUGAAGCCACUUAGUUGUUCCGAUACUAGCAUGCAUGCCUUCUCCAGUAGGCUGUCGAUGUAGGUCUGAUGUGCUUCUCUUCGGAUCUUCACACACUCCUGGACCUGAUAAACGAAACAAGUGCAAACAGUCAAAUACUGGAAACUAUACUACCCAGAGGGGUAUGUCCAGGAUAAACUAGUUGAGUUAUCGCAACAUCGUACUGGCCCUAAUUCCAAUGAAACUGACAGGAUCCCGUCAUGGAUUAAGUUAUUCAGCUGUGAACUAUAGUACUGUAUAACGAAAACAGCUGUAGACAGAAUAACCAUCAAGACAGUUAUUCCAAUUUUUUUUGACGGAAAGCUUUAGGCCAUAAGGCCUAUUGCAUAUAUUAUCAAAAAAAGAGUAUUUACAUAGUAAUUACAUGAAGUUGUCUCUCCAGACCUUUAGGCCAUUAUAUGUCUCUCUUCUAGCUCUAUGAAAAGCAAGAUUGAGUUCGUCCUUGAAAGUUCUUCUACAGCGGUACAGUGAUGGAGUGAUCCCAUUGAAGAUGCAGUCAUUUCUCGUCUUCCAGAUGCUCCAUGUUGCCAGUGUAAUUUCCAUGGAGAAAGGCACAUGAAGUUCUUGCUUAAUUGUUUCCAUGGUGAUGAAGAUGCUGUCACCAGGGGAAUAGCUAGGGCAUUCCAAUUCGAUAGUUUGUUGUUCAACCAGCUACACAUAAGGAUGUUGCAUUGUCUGUAGGAACACCAAACACUUCCAGAUAUCUUGUCUCUAAACAAAGUCCACUAGAAUAAGGGAGAUGUAGCCUAAUUCCACUAGAAAGAACUUUAUUUGUUUUCUACUCUAAACCUUCAAUUCACCCUUAUUCGAUCAAAAGGCCAGAAUGCAUUGUUCAUUUUGUCUCUAAACAAAGUCCACUAGAAUAAGGGAGAUGUAGCCUAAUUCCACUAGAAAGAACUUUAUUUGUUUUCUACUCUAAACCUUCAAUUCACCCUUAUUCGAUCAAAAGGCCAGAAUGCAUUGUUCAUUUCUUGGACAGUACAAUGUUUACCCUUAGCCAGGAAGCACUGACCGUGCCAAAACGUACUAUAUGUUCCAUAGGAGUAAGAACUACAAGCAAACUCAUCCCAAAACUCAAAACUAUUGCAGCAAAUAUAGUAAUGCUGAUGUCAUAAUAAGCAAAAAAAGAAAAGAGUGUUGUUGUUACCUUCACUUGUUCAUGCAAUCUUCGUUGCACUUCCAUUUGUUCUCUGAGUGCUUCUUUGACUUCUUGACUUCUAUAAAACAAUAAUCAUACAAUGUAAUUUCUCUGAAAUAUCACAAGUUGGACAAUAAACCUAAAUUUGGACAGAUUUGUCUAAAGUCAAGACUAUGGUUGAUAAUUAGUUGAUGAAGCUUACUCUUCCACAUCUGGUAUAGGAAUUCUAGGAGACAAAUUUAUUCCACUUUGAGCUUCCAUAAGGUAAGAACCUGCAAUCAUUCAAAAAGGCAAUAGAAAGUCAGUUGUCAAGUAUGAAUUGCAAGAAAACUACUGUUCUUCUGGACUGAUGAGAAGUUAUACACAAAACAGAUGAACAAAUAUGCACAGAAUGCUCUAAACAUAUUUUGGUAUCAAUGGUACAGCACAAUCUCAUAAAAGAGGUGGAUGACUUUAUUGAGAAUAUUAUGAUUAGCAAGUAUAAGCAAUCUGUGUAAGGACCUGCUGUGUUUGAGUUCACCACAAUUGAGACCCUGAAUGCUAACAAUGUGGCUGAGAAUAAAAAUAAUACUUUCCAAUACUUACUAGUUACUUUUUUGGUGAGAUGUUCAUGUACGAAACUUCGCACAGCACCUAACAAGAAAAGUAUUUUCCCAUUUCCCACAACUUCCAGCAUGUGCCGAAACCUAAGUCUUCACUUCAAGCUGGUAGCUACAGGUACUAUUUUCAAUCCAUAGAACUCCCAGCUGACCUCAGUUUAUCUAUUUCAGGUUGGUACCUUAUUUCGUGCGACAACAUCCCAGACUCUAUUAGGGUUCAGGCAGAAAAGUGGAAGCUCGUAGGAAUUUUGAGAGAAUAGAGAUUCUGUGUUUGUUUUCUUUUCGUUUGUGUUGUGGUGGACCUCAGUUUGUUGUCGUUGCUCAGUUGGUUCUUCUCCUUCUAAUGAAAAAAUGCAUGCUUUCUCACGCGUUCCUGAAAAAAAAGAUCUAUUCUAGUGUUCCAUCACAGAAUUGACUCCACCUAUUUUAUUGAUGCCAAACAUGUGUUGAUGAAUGAUCAAUUCAAUGGAUCCGAUGAAGCCGCCAAUUUAGUAAGAGACAGUUGAACUUGAUGCAACAAGUAUACAAGUCAAAAGUGGAUAAGCGGUCAGAGUCUGUCUACACAAAGGACUUGCCUAAGAAAAUAGGAACUCCAGCAAGGAAUUGUAUGCUAAUUCAUGCUGAGGUCAUCAAUAACUUUGUGUAACUUACCAUCUUUUGAUUGCUCAGUAAUCUCCUUGCCAGACUGCUUUCCCAAUCUGUAUUUCUGGUAAGUCGAAAAACUAACAAACAUAAGAACGUAGUUGAGUUUUCUUUUACUGCAGGAAACAUUUGCGCGAGCCAGUGAAAAUACCUGGAGAUGACUUUUCAAAUGAAAAAGAGUGAGCCCUUUCACACCCAUUGUCCUCAAGAUAGUUUUUGGCGUUGCUUCUGUGGGAUCAACAUCACAAUCAGUCUAACAAUUGCAUGCUUUAUCCAGAUAUCAAAGAUAAACCAUAAAUGCACAGCAUAUGGCAUUAUCGCACGGUGGCGAUAUUAAAAAUCCAAUAAAUAGUGAUACUAGUCAGCAUCCUAAAAUAUUCAUGCUAGCAGGUCAUAACUUGUAAGGACUACUGUUAAUCCUGCAGUUUAGGUUGAUAAUGUGGUGUUGGUCAUAUGUGGCAUUCAUAUAAUUUAGCAUAUAAGUAAAAGCCAUAGGAAAUAUAGUAGAAUAUAGUGAAAAUGCAAUCAUCUUAUUUUGGUAAACACAUAGUUUAGUGAAAUAUAAGCUCAAGGGGGAAAGAAAAUCUCGACUAAAAUACAAAUAUAUCAGUUUUCCAUACUAUGCGAGUAACGAUCUGAUCAAGUCAAUGAAUAUUAUUAAACUGCACAGCUUCCAGUAAUUAACACAUAAAUCGACUAUCUCAUUGUUAGGAAACACGCACAACUGCGGCACAAAGUGCAGCAUGUAAGUGACACAAGCUAAUACUAAUCAAUUAAUAUAAACUCCAAUCCUUCCAUAGAAAAGCAUAACCUGCCUCCAAAAUGGAGAAACCAUCAAACUUAACUAGAACUGAAAAAUCAAGACUAGCAUGCCUACUUGCCUAGAAUGAUCAAGAUAAAGCAACAGCUUUAUUCAGUUUGUCAAACCAAUCACAGCAUAUGACAUUUCCUGUAUGCUUGAGUUUAUGUAGAGAGAUCGAUAUAACAAUUGUGAACAUUGAAGAAAUAUUUAGCUUCAUAGGCUAUAAUUUCUUCCACUCCUGUCAACAGCCCAGAAUGUAAAAUAUAUUUUUAUGAAAUCUACCACAAGUUACAACAAAUAUUCAAUAUACUGAGGGAAAUUAUUAAUGAACCACAACAAGUUUAUCAGAAUCCUCUUUCAAGAAGGAGAAGAAGAAGAAGAAAGAAGACAGAAUUACACAUAUAAACAGUUUGGGGAGGUAAUGUGGGAAAUGCAUGGUAAAAUGAACUUGCACACCUAUGACCACAUUAACCAAUUUCGGUUUAGGUACUUUUACAAUUAAAAAAACGUAUUUGUAUUUCUGUGCACAGAACAAAAAGGAUAAAACAAAGUACCCUGGUAGUACAAAAGAUUAUUCAUAUUCUUUUUCUUCACAGAGCACACAUAAGUGUCUUUUUGCCCAUGCUACAAGUAUAAGUACAAUAACAUGUUCUAGUAUUAUGAACUUUUUGGGGGAUUUUUUUUUUGUAAUUAUUCAUGUGAACUAUCUCCAUACCAUGGGGUUCAUAUAUGGUCAUAGCUCAUAGGUGCACCAAUUAUGCAUCACAAACACAAAAAUCACUUUAAUCCACUAGAAGCCACAUCGAGAGUAUCCGACUCAAGAAUCUCAAACAUAAACGUGGAGGCGACAGUAAAAAGACACAAGUUUUUGCAAGUAGUACAAGGACAAGACAGCAACCCAUAAGAAAGGAACUACAGCGCCUACAGGUCGGGAAUGUUUUGAAGGAAAAGUGCCUAAUCGCUCUCAGUUGGCCUGCUUGAACAACGGUCCUAAACCAUAAGAACCGUCACUUUCAAAAGACAGGCGAGCGUUUUCGUUUUGAGCAUAGAAGAAAUGACACGCACAGAUACAGUGUUUAUAGUAAGAAAGAACGCGAAGUUCCAACGAUUUCAGGGGACGCGAGUGCACAUUUCAACUCAAUAAAUCCUAAUGAUCCCUGGCUAGCACGAGAAAAUAUGAAAUCUGUCGCCAUAGCAAAUUAGCAACCCCCUUUUCUAUGUGAGCCGCACAUUCAAUUGAAGUCAAGUCAACGAGGUCCUACCAAGAAAAGGCCCAUUAAUCCGCAAUUCUUUUCCCCAACAAACUAGCGUCUUUACAUGCCAACAAAUUAAGAAGUAGCCGGCGAGGGCAUGGACCAAGAAGGAGGCAGGGCGGGCAGAGGGAAUAGAGAUGGAGGAGUUUCUCACUGUCUGGCCCGCCGAGCUGGGCGAUGGCGUCGACGAAGCGGUCGUGGAGGUCUGCCGUCCAGCGGAGCCGGGGCUUGGGGUCGGCCGUGAGCACCAGGCUGGGCGCGCUGCCGCCGCCAUGCCCGCGCGGCGCGUCGUCCGCGGCGUGCUGGUGGUGGUGGUGGAUCAGACCAGGAAACAUCUCCUCGCCUGUGUGCUCGCCGGGAGGCGUCCCCUCCAGAAAAAGCGAGAGAAGAUUAAUUGGAGGGAAAGCUUCUCUCUGACUCUGCUCCGCUCUAGUAGUACCCUCUACGCCUUUCCUGUUCUCCUCUCCAUAUUUGUGCAGUUGCGCUGCCGCUCUCGAUUUAUUAGUCUUUGUCUGCCUUUUUGUAUAUUCGGUGGCUCGCGCUCACGGACGGGCGCGUCGCGACAGCUUUACACCGUCGCUAUAGCAGUGCCGCAGGAAAGCAAUCAUCACCAAACUUACAAACUUACUGUUCCGAGCACAACAGCUGCAACCUUUCGGAACAAAUGAUGGUGCAGAAAUAACUUUGAGCUGUUUUCCUUCCUCUCCGUUCAACCUAAAAAUAAAUAAAUACUCAUAAGAUUUAUAUUAGUUGAAUGUAUUCCGACGUUUUUUAAUUAUGAAUACGUCUAUAUUUAGAAAAAUUUGAGACAAUUAAUAUGGAUCCAAGAAAAUAACAUUUUUCGCGUAUAAAAAUAAAUAGAUCACAUGAACACGCCCACAGCGGCAACCCAACAGGUUGUGCGGUUGUGUUUCAUGCUGCCGUUUAAGCACAAUUUCCGUAAGCGCAAAGGGUGCCGUCAGGUAAGAAUAAUUGUUAGCUUGAAGAAGCAUUUAAACCCAUGUUUAAAAUUUAACAAAAUCUAUUCUUUCUGGAAACGUCAUGCAUGCUGAUGUUUUUCUACGUCGCACGCAUACCAAUUCAACUUGUGGGUUAUAUUUAUACUCCUUCCGUCUCAUAUUAAAUGUCAAAUAUUACAGGUAUCCAUGCUAAUUUUAGUAUAUAGAUACGGUUAUAUUUAGACAAAUUUGAGUCUAAUAUGGGGACCUUGGGACGCAGAGAGUAUAAACUAAGUAAUUUUAUGCUUUGGCCACCUUUAAUAACCAUAUUUUCUCUGUCCCUUCUUAUAUUACUCCUUCCGUCAUAUAAUUCUUGUCUCAAAUUGAUAAAAAUGGAUGUAUCUUCUCUUCCUCUCGUUUUACGGAGAUGCAUAGAAUUUUUUUUCUUUUGAGGAAACACGGUACAGACGCAAGCACUCACACACACGCACGUUACACUCACCCUAUGAACGCACGCACGCACACCCUAUCCCUAUGAGCACCUCUGAGAGACUGAGCCACCGGCCGAUCAUCUUGAGAUUGACAAAAUCAUCACAGGCGUCUCGUAGUUGACGGGUAGGUCACUCCCACUGAAAGCACAACGCCGGUUUAAGUCUGGAAUAAAUUCAAAAAAUGCGAGCACCCAUGCCAAGUCUGAGACUUGAACCUGGAUGGGCUGGUUCCACCACAAGAAACCAACCACCUGAGUUAGGCUCAGUUCGCGACAUGCAUAGAAUUUGUUACCCAACGGGUAAACAAACACACAUGUAUCACUAACAAAAGUUAUAUACCUUGCAUCACGAAACGGUGGGAGUAUGUACUUUUCGCGUAGCUCAUGGGUACAGACAUGUAAUACACAUCCAUCAAUAGAUGAUAUAUACAUGUGAUUUUUUUAUCGAAUCCAUCAUAUUUUCAUAAUAUAUUUAUUGAUGUUGUAGAUAUUAUUAUUUUUAUAAAUUUGUCAAACUAUAAAAGAUUUGACUUAGAGCACAAAUCAUAAAUAUGCUAUCUCCAACUAUAGUGCACCAACAACUUAUACUAUAACAAGAUGAGCACUUAAUAAACAACAAGCUAGCACAAGAUAUAAGAUAGCACAAAGCACAUAUAAGAUAAUAUAUGACUUCAAGCACGAUGACUAUCACAAAUUAAAGCACAAGUGAAUGAACUCGGUUUAGGAAUACCCGAGGCACGCGGAGACGUUGAUUUAUCCCGAUGUUCACUUCCUAGGAAGCUAAUCACCAUUGGAGAGGUGCGGGGCGAAUACUCGAAAGGCUCACCUUAUUCUCCUUGAGCCUCUUCCACGAUGUUGGGGCUCAUUCACUUCGGCUAGCUUCUUCCUCCACUCCGAAGAUGGCAAGCUCCAAUGCCACUUUACAAAUCCCACAAAGGGGAACCUCGGGCCUCUUCACAAUCUCCACGAAGAAGUCACCGGACAACAAUCUCUAAGCCGUCUAGGAGGUGAACCUCCAAGAGAAACAAGCUCACAGACUCUCACCGAACAAAUCAAGAUGGAGAGCUCAAACCAAUGCACCAAAUGCAAAGCAAGAACACAAGAAAUGCUCAAAUCCCUCUCUCUCUCAAAUCCCACCCAAAGCAACAAAUGCUAGGGAGAAAUUAGAGAGGAGGAACAAGGGGAGGAACUAAAAAAAUGAUUUCUCCAACUAGAUCCACAAAAUGCCUUCAAUUAGAUGGGAGAUUUGGGGCUUAGGGGAGGUGGAGAAAGCUCUCAAAGGUGGGGUAUUUUCAUAUCCAAGAGGUGCCUCUCCCGUGGGGAAGAAGACCCCUUUAUAUAGGGCCCCCACAAAUCUGCCCGUUGCAGCUAGUCUGGGUGAAUCCGGAAUCUCGUCCGGAAUUCGGGGUGAGAAUCCGGAUUCUGGCACUGUAGCAACUGGAGGCUAUUGGACUCUCGAGGCCACGUUUUGGAACCAAUCCGGACAAAAUCCGGAAUUCUGGACCAAAAUCCGGAUGCACAGCAGCAGCAAAAACAGCAGAAACCACUCACACAAAAAUGUCAAUAACUUUUGCAUACGAACUCCGUUUUUGAUGUACUUGGUCUUGUUUCGAAGAUAACAACGAGCUCUACGAACUCACGAGGAAAACCAGAAAAUAUCAACCAAAACAGAUGAUGCAAAAUAUGCAAAUGUUUGAGCACUCUAUGCAUGACAAGUUUAAGGAGCAUGCCCGAAAGCCCCUCUUGAUAGAAUGGCUAUCGAACCUAUAAACCGGUCUUCCACCAAAUUCCUUGAGACCGGUAAAACUAGAAAAACCUAACUAGAAUAUACCUUUGCCUUGUGCAAUCCACUUGAGGUUGAUGUAGCCGUUCAUGCUCGUCUUAAGUUGCAAUCCUUCGCUUCACCACUAACACUUGGUGAAGAUUCUCAAUUUGCUCCCCCAUGCUCCAAUGUGGGAUCCCUUCACUUUAAACACAUCUUCACGUGUCCAUUAUCUCCAAAUGGAUGACAAGCUUCAAGCAUGUAUCUUCUCGGGAUGCUUAUCUUGAGCUUGCCCUUCUCAACCUUCAUGAUCAUCUCAACUUGAUGUUAUCCCUCAUGAUCCAUGUGAAUUCUUCUCUGUUAAUCCAAACCCAUGAGUUGUACCUAACCCACAUAGAAAGGAAACACAUAGCUUAUGGGUUAGUUCCCAAACACAAUUGACAAAUGCUUACCAUACCACUAGAUCACUAGAUCACUAGAUCCCAUGCGGUACAUCAUUUACGCUUGUGUGUUGACCAACUUGAAUCCAAACGUUGCACUUCAUCUUGGUCAACCUUCAUCUUUCCUUUACUCUGCAUGUCUAUUAUAUUUUGAAGCCAAUAGUGAACUCUUCACUUAAUCUUCAUUGCUUCAAGACUGGAUUACCAAAUGCUCCCUCAUGACCAUACUUGGGAUUCACCAUGAAUAUCACUUUGGUUUUCUUCAUUCUUUAUAACAAUAUCUUGAGACACAUAAUGGUUUCUUCACUUGCGUCUUGCUCCAUGACUUGGUCAACCAUGGCUCAACUCAUGCAAACAAUAACCUUACCAUGAAGUCAUAUCUUGAAUCCUUCUCUAGUAUUCAUCCUCUCAACAUCUUUAUCUUCUAUGGCUCAACUCAUGAGCCCAAAUAUGACCACGUUCAAGUUCCACCUUAGAAUCAUAUCUUGUUCAAUUCUCAAUCUUCAUAUAUAGCUCAAUGCAAAACACUUAUCCAUAGUUGAUUCUCAUCGGUUACAAAAACCACCAAUCCAAUUGUCAAAUCUCAAUGUAUAUAUUUAUGUCCGUGACAUUUAUCAUUGAAUUCACCACUUGGUCUUCAUGCAUUGCCUAUGAACAAUUCCUUCAAACAUAUUUAAAAUAAAACGUUAGUGCAUAGGGAUUGUCAUUAAUUACCAAAACCACACAUGGGGCAACAUGCACUUUCAGCAGCAACCCGACGCUUCGCACAGGAGCUGUGCGGCGCUUCCCUGGGAACGCGGCGACGAUGCUAUAGGCGCAGCCGGCAGCGACGGUGGCAGGAACAAGACGACAAUGCAUUAGGCACAACGGUGGCGGAAGUUGUUGAAGUGCCGGCCGUGCUCGCCCGCAAACACCACACGGCACGUCGUCCUCCCCCACGCCAAGCUGCGUUUCGUUGACAGACUAGUUGCGGGAGUGCAGCCUUUUGUCAUCACGUAGCUCUAGCUGUUGUUCCAGUGCAAGGGAAGCCAUAGCCCUAGCCAUAGUUGUUGCAUUACUUCUCUGUUAGCGGCUAAUCAGUAAAGCAAGCAUUAGCAAGUAGCAACACGCGUAGCCGACACCUUCCUUGCAGAGCUAGCCAUGCCCUUCCCACUUAGGCCUUGUUUGGUGUUAGUGUAUUUUUACUCACUAGUGUUUUGGUAUUUGAGGGGUUUGGGUGUUCACCCAAAACACUAGUAUGAGAAGUGUUUUAAUUUUGGUACAAAAAUGGAGUUUUGUGGGGGUAAACUAAGGAUAAUCCCUCUAAAUCUUUCCUAGCAAACAACUAUUUGGGAUUUCUAGUGUUUUUCAAUUUGGAGUGGAUAAUACCCUAAAAAACACUCCAAAAACUCUAGUAACAAACAAAGCUUUAUGGUAAUCAAAAUUCCAGAGAUGCCUCUGUGGUGGAUCGCAGCGCCGGUCGAUAAUCUCCCCACAUGUCACCUCGCUCACCGAGAGCCGGGCCAGGCCAUGCAAGAUCCUCCGUGCAUGGAAGGCGACACAGAGAGGAGUGCGGAGGUGGAAUCUGCGGAUGCACAUGCGGCGGAGUACGCCGGUGGUGACCGACGGCGGAUGACGCGGGGCGGCAUCGACGGAAAAGGAGGAAGAAGAGAAGGGGAUAAGGAAAUGAGCAUGGGAUAGGUACAGAGGUUUGUGGAGCCGAAUGAAGAAGAGAACAUGAUUGAUACGGAACGUUCGUCAGCAGCGGUAGGUACGGAACGUUCUCCGAAUAGAUAAAUUGUUGAUGUUUUCACACCAGCCCUCAAAGCCUUUGUAUGAGGAUUUUUAUACAAAAUGUUUCAGUAUGGGGGCUUUUUGCAAACUAUGUCGGGCCUGAAAACAGUCCCUGCAUGUGACACAUGUCCAAUUCAGAUUUAUUGGACUAAAAUGCUCCCGCAUCUCAAGUUUCAGGAUUAGUUUUGCUCAAUUCACAAGAAAGUGGACUAAAAUGCUCCAAUCUCUCAAGGUGUUGGACCGGUGGUGCAAUUACCUCUUAUGAAAAAAUAAAAUAAAAUCACAAUAUCGAUUAGUCAGUUAGCCGGCCGCCGGAGCAGUGCUGCUUGAUGCCGGAUUGCCGCCGACCAGCUCUUGAUCCAGAUUUGCUUCGCGUGUGUUAAACUGAGAAACUACCAGGGGGAAAACACGAUGUACCGCGCGCAAAAGGCUCGCUAAUAUUUUGGCAGACGAUUUUCGCGCCGUCUUCUCGCCCGCGCGACGGUGAAAACUGCGUUGGCACGCGGCCAAGUUCGCCAGGGCGUGCCAAAUUUGGUUCCCUCCCAAACACAGGCCAAAAGUCCAGGGCACGGCCAAUACUAGUUAAGUGCCCGUGCGUUGCAAUGGAAUAAAAAAAAUGAUACAUGUGAGACUUAAGUACGCGUCCAUUUAAUGUCGAAGAUAUGUUUCUCAACAUUGUUUUCUCGAUAGAUUGUCAAGUCCUGCAAAGGGCGCUAUCUACGUCGGAUUAUGAUGCGAUGCCGCUGGGAGCGAUGUUCAAUUGUUCAGAGAAGCCAAGUAUAUUCUCCAUAUGUCCUUCGUGUAUUCUUCGGUCGUGUUUUUUCCUCGGCCGGCUCAUGCUUUAGCCGCUUUGGGGUCUUGUUUAGUGUUCUUAGUUCAUGGUUGUUUAAGAAAAUUUUGAUUGCAUUCAAAUAACAGACCUCAGCCUCAACUGUCCAAAUUCUAUUCAUGCAAUAUACGAAGGAAAAUCAGAACAAAGCCACACAAAGGUGUAGCCAAUGGCCUAAUGCAGUAGCAGAACUAAAAAAGGAGGGACAUUGGUGAACAAUAGAUGGGUUAGAGAAAAGCUAAAGAUACAUAAAAAAACAUUCUCUCUUUGCAACGGCAUAACAAAUAAAAUGAUAAGUUCUAAAACAUGUAUCAAAACAUUAUCUCUUUGGUCUUCUUUGACAACCACUAAAUAUCCCUUAAAUAAAUUUUUUCCUAAGAUUUUGUUUCUAUACUCUACUUUCUCAAAAGACAAUGAUACCUUUCCUUCUUAAAAUUAUAUAGUAUCACCCGAUCAAAAAUAGUAUUGGGACUAAAUAGCUUCACUCCUUUUAGUUCUCUCCACUACCUCACUUCACACAUAAAAAAAAGUUAGAAGCAGCACAUAUUUAAAAAAAGAAAUAUGAGAAAAUAAGACAUGAAUGAAUGAGAGGGCAUCCUGUUCCAAAAUAAAUUUUACAUACAAUAUUUUAAGUCUAUGCAUACAUCCAUGUCUUGCCUGAAGAGUAUGUCUUCUAAUUCUAUUUUACCUCGACGUCAGAUUAUUCCAAAACACGUGAGGCAGGACAAAACGACCAGGAGAAAAUGCAUGCAUUACAAAAAAGUGGAUGGUAUUACGAAGGAAAAAGAAGCCUACAGAGACAUAUUUUGGGCGAAUAAUACAUUUUCCUUAUAUUUUAUUUCCAUGGGCAAAUAUCUUACCAAAGCAAUGUCAUCAUCUGUAGUUGUUGGAACUUCACCUCCACUUUUGAUCAAUCAGUAUUAGCACGUACACUAUGGGCAAAUAUCUUACCAAAGCAAUGUUGUCAUCUGUAGUAUUUUGUACCUACAUGCUUUCUUUUAUUUGAAUAGUUCUUCAUUCUUCAGCUGUAAAGUGGAGAUAUGCCCUAGAGGCAAUCAUGUGAUAAUGUUAUUCCUAUGUAUUCAUGAGUUAUUGUUAUUGUCCUUGAACAUCAUCACUGAUAUGUAUCAAUAAAUAUGUGAUUUGUUUGUGAGACUAUAUAUUCUAUGACGUUGUUCUAAUGGUCCCUAGUCAUUGAGGUUAUGCGGACACACAACCUAGACUAGUAAUGUGAUUCAGUAUGAUGACUAUGUUUCACAAGUCAUAGGGCAAGGUGUUGCCAACUGAUAGCAUUGGACUCGACAAUGAGAUUGCCGAGUUGGACAAGCGGUGAGACACAACGAGAUGAUUGCCAUUUGUUAGUCUCAAGUAGGAUGUUUAUGCCAGUUCUAGACCUGAGGUCAUCGCAUGAGCUUGGGAUGUGAAUCGGCUUACUUAGGGGUUACCAAACGCUACUCCGUAACUGGGUAGUUAUAAAGGUAGCUUUCGGGUUUGCUGAAAAGCAUGCUGCAAGUCAUGGUAGUUGAUCAAGAUGGGAUUUGCCCCUCCCUUUGGGAGAGAUAUCUCUGGGCCCUCUCGAGUGAUCAGAUUCGGAAAGCAUGGCCAUGCGACUUGGGUUAAGCGUUAACCCGUUCGGGAAUCUGAAUCACGAGAUCGAGAAGAGAGUCGAGCUAUACACAAAAGGAUGACAAGUACUCGCCUUGAGCUCGACACACAUAUCGUGAGGCAAAAUGAAUGUUUCAUGUGGACACAUUGUAUGGUUCGUCAAUAUUCUUUGUGGUUAUUUGGGAGCCAGCAAGUGCUGCUAGGCGCCGCUACUGACUAUCGACUUGGGUCGGAACCUAUGUUCGGACUCGUAGUCGUGUCCGUCUGACCGUGAACCUGUAGGGUCGCACACUUAAGGGGAUGGGACCGAAUUGGAUUGGAUCCAACUCGUAUCGGGCUUAGACUCCUAAUGGGCCUCAAGUGUUGAAGCCCACCAGGGAGGUCUAUAUAAGUGGAGGAGGCAUACCCGGUUAGGGUUACCCCCAGUUCGUGGUACGAGUCAGACUCGGCCGUCACAUCUCCACGCCCAAACCUUGCGAUCGGAUCUAGCAGUCUGCUGCACGGAGUUCCUCUCUGUACGUGUGGAUACCUCGGAGGCGCUGCACCUACGGCGCUUGGACGAACUGUUCGUGGGAUCGGCGAGGAGGAACAGGCCGAUCGACUACUCGGCAUCGACACGCAUCACCGACUCUACUUCUGCUAUGGGUCUGCGCGUCUAGUGGUAAUCUCGUGAUCCAUUAUCUACAGCAUUGAUCCGGAUGGAAUCGGCAGAAAAUUUUAUUUUGUGCUCGCGUAGCCUACCGUGUUCCCCAAAAGUGGUAUUAGAGCGGAUGAUGUCUAUUUUGGAUUCGGAUUACGUGCAUAAGUGUUAUACGAUAGUGGUAGAUGUGAUCUAUUGCUAUCUUGGUGGUCGAUCUAAGUGGUAGAUCGGUUUUGUACUCAAUCGAUUGGAUCGGUUGUACUCAGGGAUAAUGGAUAUUUAAUUAUGAUAAUCGUGAUGUUGAUGGUCGUGACACAACCUACUCCUACCGGUCGGAUUUCCGCCAUCGGGGUAAACAGUGAAACGUAAACCCGGAUACGAUUCAUGAGAUCAAUGUGAUUGAUCAAAUCGGAAUAGAAAUCCAUGAAGGAAAUUUUGGAUUGGAUCUGAAAAUUUUCUAUCUAAUCGGGAUCGCCGUGCUAUCUAGUCGUAGCGCCUUAGUUGUCGUUACGAGUUCACAUCUGUUCGGUAGAAUAGGAUUCUACGCUUAACUUGUUUUUGCAGGAUUGAUGUGAAUAGUAGGGCUCAUAUGUAUGUGAUGCAUGUGUGUAAUAUUUGCAUGACCUGCGUGUCAUGAGUUUGUCAGCCAGGCUGGAGCCAAGGUGUUGUCUUUAUAAUUAUAUAACGACCUGCGUGUCAACGUGUGAUGUCUUCCUCCUUGUAAUUUCAUUAUUAGGUGUACUACCCUAGUGUGGAUUUGGAGGAGACGAGCACCCGGCGGCUUGAUGAACAGGUUCAUGGAGAUGGAGAUCACCAUGAAGAAACAGAGCCAUACUAUUUCACAUGUUUAUUUAAUUAUCUGAGAUGGUUAUUGCUUUGUUUACUCCUAUGCAUAUUAUUGUAUUAGAGUAGAAUGAUCCCUCAAAGAAUGUCAAGUUUAUUUACCUCCCCAAUAGCUGUUGGGGAACGCGGUAGGCUACACUAGCACAAAAUAAAUAUUCUACCGAUUCCGCCCGGAUCAAUGCUGUAGAUAAUGGAUCACGAGAUUACCACUAGACGCGCAAACCCGUAGCAGAAGUAGAGUCGAUGAUGCGUGUCGAUGCCGAGUAGUCGUUCGGCCUGCUCCUCCUCGCCGAUCCCACAAGCAGUUCGUCCAAGCGCCGCAGGUGCAGCGCCUCCGAGGUAUCCACACGUACAGGGAGGAACUCCGUGCGGCGGACUGCUAAGUCCGAUCACAAGGUUUUGGGCGUGGAGGUGUGAUGGCCGAGUAUAACUUGCGUCUGGACUGGUGUGUCCCUAGCCGGGUUGAUCUCCUCCACUUAUAUAGACGUCCCUAGUGGGCUCAACACUUGACGCCCGUUAGGAGUCUAAGCCCGAUACGAGUUGGAUCCGAUCCAACUCGGUCCCCACCCCUUAAGCGUGUGACCCUUCAGGUUCGCGGUCAGUCGGACACGACUACGAGCUCGGACUGCGGGCCCGAGUAACACCUUACUCGUCCACUGGCACCGACUCAAGUCGAUAGUUGGUAGCGGCGCCUAGCAGCACGUGCCAACUCCCGACUGACCACAAGGUAUAUUGACGAACCAUACAAUGUGUCAUAUGCAACAUUCCUUUUGCCUCACGAUAUGUGUGUCGAGCUCAAGGCGAGUGCUUCUCAUCCUUGUGGAUAGCUUGACUCUUCUCAUUCCUGUGAUACAGAUUCCCGAACGGGUUAACACUUAACCCAAGUCACAUGGCCAUGCUUUCUGAAUCUGAUCACUCGAGAGGGCCCAGAGAUUUCUCCCUGAAUAGGAGGGGCAAAUCCCAUCUUGAUCAACCAUGACUCGCAGCAUGCUUCUCAGCAAACCCGAAAGCUACCUUUAUAACCACCCAGUUACGGAGUAGCGUUUGGCAACCCCUAAGUAGGCCAUUCACAUCCCAAGCUCAUGCGAUGACCUCAGGUCUAGGACUGGCAUAUACAUCGUACUUGAGACUAACAAAUGACAAUCAUCUCGUUGUGUCUCAGUGCGGGUCUGUCCGACUCAACAAUCUCAUUGUCGAGUCCAUGCUAUCAGUCGGCAACACCUUGCCCUAUGAUUUGUGAAACAUAGUCAUCAUACUGAUUCAUAUUCCUAGUCUAGGUUAUGUGUCCGCAUAACCUCAAUGACUAGGGACCAUUAGAACAACAUCAUAGAAUACAUAGUCUCACAAACAAAUCACGUAUUUAUUGAUACAUAUCAGUGAUGAUGUUCAAGGACAAUAACAAUAACUCAUGAAUACAUAGGAAAUAACAUCAUCACAUGAUUGCCUCUAGGGCAUAUCUCCACUUCUGGCUGCACCGGCUGAUAAUGCCACUGCUACUGUUAGAAACGCCUAUCAACGCUCAUGUGAUGAGUUGAUUGAGAUCAGCUGUCUCAUGCUUGCAUAUAUGGAGCCCGAACUGCAGCACCAGUUUGAGAAUGUUGAGGUUUUCGAUAUGAUCCAAAAUCUCAAAGGCAUGUUUCAGACUCAGGCUAGGACUGAAAGAUUUAAUGUCUGGAGGUCCUUCCUGGAGACUAAGCUGAAGGAAGGCGAACCCUUGAGCCCUCAUGUAAUCAAGUUGGUUGGUUACACGCAAAGCUUGGAGAAGCUGGGAUUUCCGUUGAACCAAGAGUUGGCCACGAAUACAAUUCUGGCAUCUCUUCCUCCGAGCUAUGCGCAGUUCCUUCUGAACUACCAUAUGCACAUCAUGGAAAAGAAAGUCACUGAAUUGCAUGGGAUGCUUAAAACGGCAGAGGAGGAUAUCAAGAAAAAUACCAAGCAAGUGUUGCUGGUAUAGGGAAAGCCAAAGUUCAAGAAGAAUUCUUGGGCUAAGAAGAAGGCAAAGAAGGGAAAGGCGAAGGAUGUGAUCCCGACCCCUCCUCCUGCGCGUAAGGCUGGACCGAACGCAGAGACCGUGUGCUUUUUCUGCAAAGGCUCCGGUCAUUGGAAGAGAAACUGCAGCAAGUACCAGGCCCACAUGGCAAAGAAGGGUGGAAGUGUGACUUCUACUUCAGGUACGGUUGUUGUUUGUGUUAUAGACAUUUAUCUUGCUGAUGCACCUAUUAACAGCUCUUGGGUAUUGGAUACCGGAUCGGUUGUUCACAUUUGCAACUCGAUGCAUGGGCUGGUAAGGACUAGGAGCGUCGCAAGUGGAGAGGUUGACACAAGGGUUGGCAAUAAAGCAAGAGUUGCAGCGUUGGCCACCGGGACUAUGCAACUUCAUUUACCUUCUGGAUUUAUUAUGAAAUUAAAUAAUUGUUAUUAUGUUCCUGCUUUAAGUCAAAACAUUAUAUCUGUCUCAAACUUGUUGAGUCAAGGUUAUGAAUUCAAUAUUAAGGGCAAUGGUUGUUCCUUUUAUUCGAAGGAUAUGUUUUACGGCUUUGCAACCAUUGUGAACGGGUUGUUCAUCCUUAAUCUUGAAGGAGAAUCUGUCUAUAAUAUUAAUGUCAAGAGGUGCAAGCCUAAUGAUCUGAAUCAAACCUAUUUCUGGCAUUGUCGUUUGGGUCACAUAAGUGAAAAACGCAUGAAGAAGCUUCAUGGAGAUGGACUUUUAACUUCGUUUGAUUAUGAAUCAUUUGAGACAUGCGGGUCUUGCAAGAUGACCAAGUCACCUUUUGCAAAGAGUUGCGAGAGGGCGACCGACUUGUUGGAACUCAUACAUACUGAUGUGUGUGGACCAAUGGGCACGACAGUUAGAGGAGGUUAUCAAUACUUAAUAACAUCCACUGUUGAUUUGAGUAGAUAUGGAUACGUCUACUUGAUGAAACAUAAGUUAGAAACCUUUGAAAAGUUCAAAGAGUUCCAGAAAGAAGUAGAGAACCAAUGUGGCAAGAAAAUAAAGCUUCUACGAUAUGAUCAUGGAGGCGAAUACUUGAGCCGCGAGUUCGACAAACAUCUGAAGAGUUGUGAAAUUGUUCCACAGCUCACACCGCCGGGUACACCACAGAGAAACGGUGUAUCGGAACGGUGGAACCGAACCUUGUUGGACAUGGUUCGGUCAAUGAUGAGUCAGUCAGAUCUUCCCUUGUCAUUUUGGGGUUAUGCUCUAGAAACCGCAGCGUUCACACUAAACAGAGUACCAUCAAAGUCUGUAGAUAAGACACCAUAUGAGAUAUGGACUGGGAAGCGUCCCAGUUUGUCUUUUCUAAAGAUUUGGGGUCGUGAUGCAUUUGUCAAACGACUUCAGUCGGACAAGCUCACUCCCAAGUCGGACAAGUGCAUAUUUGUGGGAUAUCCAAGGGAAACCUUAGGAUAUUACUUCUACAACCGAGAAGAGGGCAAAGUGUUUGUCGCUCGGAACAGUGUCUUCCUUGAGAAAGAGUUUCUCAGUCGGGAGGCAAGUGGGAGGUCGGUGCAACUCGAAGAAGUUCGAGAUGGGCCAGUUGGGGAUAGCUCAGCAAGCAAUGUCCAAGUGACUGAGCCGGUCAGCGUACCCAUGGCCAAUGUAACGCCGAUUCCACGAAGGUUGGAAAGGCUGCGUAACAACGUAAGCAACGUGUUGUUGUUGGACAAUGACGAGCCGACUACUUAUGUAGAAGCGAUGGUGGGUCCAGAGUCUGAGUUGUGGCUUGAGUCCAUGAGAUCCGAAUUAAAGUCCAUGGAUGAAAAUCAAGUUUGGAACUUGGUAGAUCCGCCAGAGGGUGUAAAAACCAUUGAGUGCAAAUGGAUAUUUAAAAGGAAAACUGAUAUCGAUGGAAAUGUUCAAAUCCAUAAAGCUCGAUUUGUCGCAAAGAGUUUUUGACAAGUUCAAGGAGUUGGCUACGACGAGACUUUCACGCCGGUAGCAAUGCUUAAAUCAGUUCGGAUCAUUCUAGCUAUUGCUGCAUAUUUCAAUUACGAGAUAUGGCAGAUGGAUGUCAAGACGGCUUUCCUUAAUGGAAAUUUAACCGAGGACGUGUAUAUGAUAUAGCCCGAGGGUUUUGUCGAUCCAAAGAAUGCCGGAAAAAUAUGCAAACUUCAGAGAUCCAUUUAUGGAUUGAAGCAAGCAUCUCGGAGCUGGAACAUUCGUUUUGAUGAGGUAGUCAAAGGGUUUGGCUUCAUCAAAAAUGAAGAAGAACCUUGUGUAUACAAGAAGUUUAGUGAGAACUCUGUCGUAUUUCUAAUCUUGUAUGUGGAUGACAUAUUAUUGAUUGGAAAUGACAUUCUGAUGCUGGAAGCCGCCAAGGACUCAUUGAAGAAAAGUUUUUCAAUGAAGGACUUGGGAGAAGCGGCUUAUAUUUUGGGAAUCAGGAUCUAUAGAGAUAGAUCAAGAAGGCUUAUUGGUUUAAGCCAGAGUACAUAUGUGGACAAAGUGUUGAAGAGAUUCAACAUGGAUGAGGCAAAGAAAGGGUUCUUGCCCAUGUUGCAUGGUAUAAUUCUAAGCAAGACUCAGUCCUUCGACUUCUGAUGAGCGAACUCGAAUGAGUGCGAUUCCGUAUGCUUCGGCAGUCGAAUCCAUCAUGUACGCCAUGUUAUGUACUCGACUGGAUGCUUCCUAUGCUCUAAGUGUUACGAGCAGGUAUCAAGCUGAUCCCGGUUGAAAAUCACUAGACAACCGUGAAGAAUAUCCUUAAGUACUUGAGAAGGACUAAGGACAUGUUUCUGGUUUAUGGCAGUGAAGAUGAGCUCGUUGUAAAGGGUUACACCGAUGCUAGUUUCCAAACCGACAAGGACGAUUAUCGGUCUCAAUCUGGAUAUGUGUUCAUCUUGAACGGAGGUGCGGUGAGCUGGAAGAGCUCUAAGCAAGAAACGGUGGCCGACUCUACAACAGAAGCCGAGUAUAUCGCGGCCUCGGAAGCUGCGAAAGAAGGCGUUUGGAUCAGAAAGUUUGUUUCUGAGCUUGGAGUGGUUCAGGGCGCGUCCAAUCCCAUGGACCUCUACUAUGACAAUAGUGGUGCUAUCGCACAAGCCAAAGAACCACGCCAUCACCAAAAAUCCAAACAAAUACUCAGGUGUUAUCAUCUCAUACGGGAAUUCGUGGAGAGAGGUGACGUUAAGAUAUGCAAGGUACACACGGAUCUCAAAGCAUGAAGCGCAUGUACGAGCCAUGGGUAUGCGAUACUUUCAUGAUUGACUCUAGUGCAAGUGGGAGACUGUUGGAGAUAUGCCCUAGAGGAAAUCAUGUGAUGAUGUUAUUUGCUAUGUAUUCAUGAGUUAAUGUUAUUGUCCUUGAACAUCAUCACUGAUAUGUAUCAAUAAAUAUGUGAUUUGUUUGUGAGACUAUAUAUUAUAUGACGUUGUUCUAAUGGUCCCUAGUCAUUGAGGUUAUGCGGACACACAACCUAGACUAGCAAUGUGAUUCAGUAUGAUGACUAUGUUUCACAAGUCAUAGGGCAAGGUGUUGCCAACUGAUAGCAUUGGACUCGACAAUGAGAUUGCCGAGUCGGACAAACCCGCACUGAGACACAACGAGAUGAUUGCCAUUUGUUAGUCUCAAGUACGAUGUUUAUGCCAGUUCUAGACCUGAGGUCAUCGCAUGAGUUUUGGAUGUGAAUCGGCUUACUUAGGGGUUACCAAACGCUACUCCGUAACUGGGUAGUUAUAAAGGUAGCUUUCGGGUUUGCUGAGAAGCAUGCUGCAAGUCAUGGUAGUUGAUCAAGAUGGGAUUUGCCCCUCCCUUUGGGAGAGAUAUCUCUGGGCCCUCUCGAGUGAUCAGAUUCGGAAAGCAUGGCCAUGCGACUUGGGUUAAGCGUUAACCCGUUCGGGAAUCUGAAUCACGAGAUCGAGAAGAGAGUCGAGCUAUACACAAAAGGAUGACAAGUACUCGCCUUGAGCUCGACACACAUAUCGUGAGGCAAAAUAAAUGUUGCAUGUGGACACAUUGUAUGGUUCGUCAAUAUACUUUGUGGUUAUUCGGGAGCCAGCACAUGAUGCUAGGCGCCGCUACUGACUAUCGACUUGGGUCGGAACCUGUGUUCGGACUCGUAGUCGUGUCCGUCUGACCGCGAACCUGUAGGGUCGCACACUUAAGGGGAUGGGACCGAAUUGGAUUGGAUCCAACUCGUAUCGGGCUUAGACUCCUAACGGGCCUCAAGUGUUGAAGCCCACCAGGAAGGUCUAUAUAAGUGGAGGAGGCAUACCUGGUUCCCCAACAGGCUCCACGCUGGCCCAGGCCGUCCACCGUGUCCGGACCCGAUCGAGCCCGAGCCGAACCGAACCGGACCGAGCCCAAGCCCUGCAUGUGAUCUGGUAGUGGGGCCUUUCCUUGUUGGUUUCUUCCUUUCUGGAUUAAGCACUGGUUGCCCAUCCUCAACCUCAAUGUCUGAAACAAGUUGAGGUUCUGGGUCAUAAAUGUCUUCAAAAUCUGUGUCCCCCUUGGGUUUGGUCCGGUUCGGUCCGGCUCGGGCUCGGUCGGGUCCGGACAUGGUGGACGACCGGGGCCAGCGUGGAGCCUAUGUGGACCUGACGUGUGGGCCCUCUUGUCAGUUUUCAUGUCAAAACGUGAUCAGAGGCAAAAUCAGUGCGCGGGAGUACAACUAACGGAGAAAGUGGUGGUAAUUUGUCAAAAAUUAAAAAAAAAGGUGGUUUUCCUAGACACGUGCCCCAAAUGUGGUGGUUUUAAGUAAUUUUCUCUAUUCUUUUCUUCAGACUACUUAGCAGUUGGUAUAUGACAUAGCCUGACCUGUGGUAUCCACUACUCACUAUACAAAAUGACAUCAAAUGGUAAAUAUAACUAUGACCAAGAAUUCUGUACGUGAAGAGCAAGUGACACUCUCAAUAGAACAUUACCGAAUAGUGCAAACUUUAACGGUAUUGGUACAACAAGAAAAAAUGUCUUUUAAAAGUUACAUUGUGCAAAGUUUCAGGUGGAGUAGCAAAAAGGAAUGAACAUACCAGUGGCUCAUAAAUAUCGGCAAUGGUUACUGGGUCAAAAGUAUCCAUUCAUCCUCUGACAGAUAUUUGACACUGUACAUAAAGGAAAAAUGAGAAAAUAACUUUGCGCAAACCAAACCUUUGGUUAUAGGCCACAUCGUCAAGAGCAUGAAAAAAAAUUCUGUGAGAAAAUUGGAGGUGUAAGCCCACAACCAACCUUGCGCAGAUCAAUGGUUCUUCCAGAUUUUGUAGUAUUGUGUGACAUAUCGGAUCAUCUGGGAUUAAAACACCCACCUGCCUCCUUUUCACAUACCUAGUAGAUGAACCGUGCUUGAUGCAUUGCUCUGGCAAUUUCUUGGUUGCAAGUAAAAUAAGACACAUAUCAAAUAUUCCCUCUGUCCAACAAAGGAUGUCUCAAGUUUGUCAAAAUUUGGAUGUGCGUAGACAUGACUUAGUGUAUAGAUGCAUUCAAAUUUAGUCAAAGUUGAGACAUCCUAUGUUGGACGGAUAGAGUAUAAGAUUUAUUAUACAACUAACUAAUCAGACAAAUAAUUUGUACCUGCGAAAUCCCUAGUUACUGUCAAAGAAGAGGGAUGCCGUCGCACUGGAAGCGGCUUGGCUGGUGGAGGUGGACUCGCUCGAAGUCCCUCCAUUAGCGGUGACCGGCAGGGGCAGGGGUAGCAGGCGGAGGCCGCCGCCAGCGGCGGCUCGAUAAGGAGGGCAGGGAUGGGGGCGGCGGACGACUGGAUGAGGAUGAGGAGGGCGGGGGCAGGGGCAGCGGGCGGAGGCCGGCGGCGCUCUCCUCGGGCGUCCGUCCUCGGCGGCGGGAACUGGCGCAGGAGGCGCUGCGUCCCAUGGCGGCGUCCAUGGGAACCGGCAGCGCCGCACCCCAUGGCGUCGGCGACGCGCAGGGCGGGAAGGAGCAGGUGGCAUGCGGGCAUCGGGCUGGGUGAGACGCGAAAAAAGAAAAGAGGAGAAAAACGAAAGGAAUUGGCAGCACGGGCCGUGGUACGAACAUGUAAUUUCUCCGAAGUUAAGUAACCGUGAAUUAAAGAGUAAUUGGCAGGGUCAUCGUUGGCGUUCAUCCAAACAGCCCCUUAAUGAGUUGGCAUUUUGGCAGUCCUUCCUUCUGGUAAAAAGAAGACUCCCAACUCGUCGUCUGCUCGGGUUAGAUCCUCCACCAGUCCACCUCCCUGCCGCAGUGAUCGCCGCCGGCCGAUAUGCCAUCCAGCGACCGCUACAUGGUCUGCUCACCGUCGCCAUCCACUGGCCCGCACUCCCCUCACCUUCCCCUCUACGAGCAUGAGCAGUACUUUCCGAUCCCUCACCUCUCCGCCUCUGUUUAUUUAGGAGAUUUCUUGGGUCUAGUACCGCAGGCUAGGGCCUAAUCGGUAGACUGAUACCUCGAAAAUAUAGGAUCUUAGAAUGAUUUUGCGAGAAAUAAUGUGUUUGUUAGUUAGAGUUAAGACCUAAGAUGAAAUUGACACUGUAGUGUGUUCUUUCUGCUGAAGGAUGCUGCUGAUCACGUUUCCAAAUGGGUCUCCCCAGAGAUCUUUUUUCUUUCUAUAUGGUCACGAUUCAAGUAGCGCGUUUUAUUUUCUGAUAAAGACUGGAGCUUUAUGGGGAAUGGUGGCUCAACCGUAGCAAUCGGGUUGGACUUGAACUACUGUCAUGACUCACGCCGUCACGCGUACUCUUUAUGUGUUUAUAAGAGAAUCUCCACCAGCUUACUCAAAUUUGGUUACCUAUAUUUGGUUUUAGGUAUAGGAGAGAGAAGGUUUUCAGCAAAAUUUUGUGCAAUCGGGUUGGACUUGAACUACUGUCAUAACUAAAGGAGGUUGUCAGCUCUUUUGGAUCUUAUGAUUUUUUACGCUUUUCUGCUCAUUGAGGCGUUGGUGGUUGUUUUCGUGUUGAUACGAGGACAAAAUUGUUGGUUUUAGACAAGUUCUUUUGAUGAACUAAUGCAAUGCCUGGUUCCUGUUUUCUUUUGCGGGGAAUUACUAACUUCUUAUCAUUUGUAGGUUGUUAAGUAGUGAAUUGAUCCUUGUGCACAGCUUUCCCCCGUUUUGAGAGUUUUCCACCAUUUUUGUAACUUACAUAACAGGGUUGGUGUGGUUUUGGUGCCAUUGACUGAGUAUUCAGUCCAUUUUGACCUGCCAGUUUUCUGGUGGAUUUGUGAAUGUAGUUGAAAUCGGUUUUAUGUUUUGUUGAAGGACUGUGAUCAUAAUUAAAUCGUAUUGCGGACUGAAAAAACAAUGAACCGAGGCCACUAGGUACUACACUGCGCAAGUUUGAUCAUAAAUUUUAGGAUUCAAAUCAACUGAUCAGAUUGGGUAAAUCCAUUUAAUUCUUUCAAAGCUAACUCUAAGGAAAUUUCACCAUUUUUUAACAAACUUCGCUGGACAAAGAAAGUUUGUUUCCAAUUACCUAUCUAUGUAUAUGCCUAUUGAUAGUUGUUGCCAAUCCAUUUAAUAAACUGGUUUGGUGUGGUUGUCUCACUGUUGCAUUACGCCAAUAAUUGUGACCAGGUCCUUCUUUGCUAAUUUGUGACUGCGUUCAUGACUGAAGAUGAAAUCCGUUGUAUGUUUUGUUGCUGGACUGUGUGAUCUAAACAUAAACGUGGUAGUACCAACUACCAAACCUAAACAUGAUAACUGAAUGCUGGAGGUAAGCAGUAAGUUAUUUCGGGCCAGUUCUUAUCACUUUAUCAGCUUGUAGGUCCCUAGCAGCUGAAGCCAAAAAGAAUUGGAAACUUGAGUUGCUUUUCUGGGCAGUCCAGCUCUGAUUUCCCAUUUGUGGAAAAAAGCUGCCUUGGAGUAGCUUCCCCAGUUCUCAUAUUACCUAUCCAGGACUACCCCAAAUUUACCAUGUUUUUACAGCUAAAAUGCCACUGUGCCUCAGUCCUUGAUGCCCUGACCCCAACCCCUCCCUAGGGUAAUUGUGUGCCGCUGCCUACCACCACGCUCUGCUGCCUCAUGCCACCCUAUGCUGCCGGCCACCCGCUCUGUGUAUGUGUAUCCCAGCAUUGGCUGGCACCUUCCAUCGCGUCCCCUGUUGAGAAUGUAUCUUCGUUUGUGUACUGCCAUAUGCAUAUAUGCACUAUUUGUAUAUAUUAGUAAAAGAAAAUUAUGUUGUAUGUGUAUGCAUGUAUGUAGUAGAAUGUAGGCCGUGAGCAAACAAAUAAACACAUGAUAUUAUCAAUCAAACAGCAAACAAAUAACUCUAGGGGUGUUACACACUUGGCACUAGUCAACACAGACAAUAAACUCAAACUUCUCAGGGUUUUUUUUCCACCAGAGCUCCUGCAGGAAGUUGAGCUAAAGCUCGUUUCUGCACAAGCUGAAGGCGGAAGGAAUUGGCACGUUGGAUAUAUGUUGGUUUAGUUCUUGGGGAGCUGUACCAUUUAUCAAUAUAAAUGAGAAAAAUAUCUUUGGAUUGUUAUAUGUAUGUGCUCAUUGGUUUCUGGUUGUUUUCUUUGUAGGUACAUUACAGAAUUGCUAGCAGAGAGACAAAAGAUUGGGCCUUUUGUGCCAGUUCUCCCAUGCACAGCUCGCUUGUUGAAUCAAGGUAAUGUCUUAACCACAUGUUCACUUGAGGACUUUUUGUCUUCCUGCAAAAGGAAGAGUUAUUUUCUUAAGUGAAAAUUUACUAUGUCUAUGUUGUGCUCCUAUCUUACACAAAGCAAAAGUCGGUUACUUAACUAAGAUGCAAAGAUGUUCCUUUGUUGGUUUCCUGUUUCUCUGAUCUUUCAUGAUACAGUCACACUCCUUACCCGCAAAAAAAAAGAUACAGUCACACUCCAGACAUACUUUACCUAGCUUCUCAAGUCAUGGUUAGAUACAGGAAGAAAACUUUUUUCAAAAUUGUGUUGAGUGUAUGCUUCGGUGUGCUCUGACUGCAAACUGAUUGUAGGCUUUUUGCUUAAUUAGUUACUCAGUCUAUUGAAGACUAGGGUUCAAAUUGUAACUAUUCUACCCAGUGGAUUGAAGUUUCAUGAUAUGAGUUCUUUGCAUAUCUGUUGUUACUUCAAUGUUAUCCAUUUGCAUUUGCAUAUCUUUGCAUUACCUAGCUUCUCAAGUCAUGGUUAGAUACAGAAAGAAAACUUUUUUCAAAAUUGUGUUGAGUGUAUGCUUCGUUGUGCUCUGACUGCGAACUGAUUGUAGGCUUUUUGCUUAAUUAGUUACUCAGUCUAUUGAAGACUAGGGUUCAAAUUGUAACUAUUCUACCCAGUGGAUUGAAGUUUCUGUUGUUACUUCAAUGUUAUCCAUUUGCAUGUGCUGUAAUCAACUUUACACGAUUGUGAAAGAAAAGCUUCCAACUGCGCUAACGAUGUAUAGAGAUAUCUAUGUGUGCAAACAUAUAACAAGACUCCCUAACAUGGUGUAUGGUUAUAUUAUUUAACCAGUUCCUAAUAAUAUGUUGUGAUAACGUUUCUUAUCCUAUACCAAUGAAUACCAUAUGGGUUAAUAUGUUGCUGAAUAAACGUAACGGUUCUUGAUUUGGUAAGGUUAAAGCCUGGGGUGCUUAGAGCUGACUUCUUUUUCGCCAACCUUCUGGCUAGACCUGGAGCUGACACUACACUGGGUAUUUUUUGACGAAUACAUAGCUUGUUUGCCAAUAGUUACUGCUAAUCUUGACCUGAUCUUAUGCUAUGGCUAGUGUCAGGCAAACAAUGCUCUGACUACCUUUAUGUGAUAAUCGUGAUUUCAUGAGGUCAAGUACUGAAGUAAACUUAAAAAAUGCUGUCGAUGCACAAUGCACACAUAUAUUUAAGUCGAUGUUCUGUCCAUGGACUUCUGACUAAUCUGUCUUGAAAUUAUGAUGCUAACUUAUUUUGUACAUGCUUUCAUUUCUAUUCAAAUUUGAGCAGAAAUAUUGCAUGUGUCUGCACUCUUGGGGAUUCAUGUCUUAGAUCAACCUGGGUUUCAACAUGGUAGCCCCCUUUUAAAUGGAGGAGCAUUCUCAAAUGGAAGGCCAGCUGACGUGAAUGGUUGGGCGCCACGAUUUUCGUCAGAAGUAUGAGUACUAACCAAUGACAUAGCUAUCGCUGUUUGUUCUUAGGAAAAUUACAAUAAAUAUCUUGAUGAACAGUUUGAUUUGUCUGCUUUUGACUUCUUGUCUACAUCUCACAGUAGUCAAUACGGUGUAACUUUUCUUAGUUUGUCUGGCCAUAUGAGUUUGUGAAUAGAUGGACAUGAUUAAAAUUAUUUUGUGUUGCAGAAAUUAAUCCUCGUUCCCUCACCUAAGUCAAAUGCUUUAGAUUUGUUGAUUGAUUAACCUCACAAAUACAUAUCUGUCUGUUAUUUUGGGACUUACUCAAGGGUAACAAACAAUUGCUAAUUAUUACUAAUGAUCACUGAUGAUUUCAAUUACUCAAGGGUGUUGCUGUUGUCUGGCCAAAAUAACUGUCUCGCUCCUUCCAGCAUAUUAGAGGAGUAUUUCCCAAAGUUAACUUUGCCCUAUGCUUCCAACCAAACACAGGGAUAAGGUAAAAAGGUGGAUCGCUAUAUCCAAUUCACCCUCAUCCCUCCAACCAAAUGGACUCUUAGGGUUAGAGGAAUACCUACUGGUACUUGACAAUUUGGCCCUUUAUAACCUCAAUUCCAAGCUUUGAUCAAUUAGUUUUAGAUCUGUUUCUUUUGGGGACGGGUGGGUCAUGAGGCUGUACUGGCGGGCUUAAUUUAACUAAGAUGAUGCUGAUCAGGUAACAUUCCAUGGGAGAUUCUCUGAAAAUUUGUUUCACGCUGUAGCAUAAUGUGGUAUAGUCCUUAAUACAAAUAUGCUUCAAGGGACCAUGGCAAAAAAAGAAGUUAAAGCCUAUAUGUAAUUCAAGUACAGUUUUGUCUCGGAUUUGAUUGCAACUUGACAGCAAAAAUUAUACUGAAUGUUGCACCUGGUGAAUUUACAUCGAAUUUAGUUAGAAUCUAGUAAUGCAAUUGGUGAUAACAAGGUUAUUAAAUGGUUUUGCUUCAACCAGUUUAUUCUUGGGCCAUAUUUGUUUUAUGUUGCAGAGGUUAGGCAUAUUUGAUUCCCCACCAUCUGAAAAUGGGCUCAAUGCACAAGGGAACUCCUCAGGUUUCAUUGUGAAGAAAAUGAUGAGAAUGGAUAUUCCUACGAAUAACUAUCCUAAUGUAAGAUGCUGAUACAAUCAUUCUUUCCCCUUUCAGUCAUUUCAGCUGAUCUUUUUCUGAUUGAAAUAUGGGCUUUACAGUUCAACAUCGUUGGUCGACUGCUUGGUCCAAGGGGAAAUUCUCUUAAACGAGUUGAGGCAGCCACCAGCUGUCGUGUCCUAAUCCGAGGCCGUGGUAGCAUAAAGGAUCCUGCUCGGGUAAUGUUUGCAACUUGUCGUGUCUGUUUUCCUGUGUAUCUAUUUGUCCCAUCCUAUUAAAUCAAGUGUUUUCUUGUACUAUGAUGUAUUAAUCGGCAGAAACCCCACCCAAAUCAAAGUGAAACCGCGGUCGUGCACUCGUGGAGCGCUGAGAGCUUGAAUAACUCCUCGGCCUUAGGAGUUGUAUCUUAUACCUAUGUGUUGCUGGCUGGUCUCAGUUUUUCUCAUCUUCUGGUUGAGACAUAAUCUUUGUGCUGAUUUUAACACUACUGCUAUUAGGUGGUGUUUACAUGCCUUCAUGGUCUCUUGCUUUAUCUGUUAAGAUGUGCUUUGGUGCAAUUGCCCUUAGGUUGUUUGAUGUAUGAUUAAAUAGUACUCCCUCCAUAAGAAAAUUUCUCCUGCAAUUCUGAAAAGAAGAGGCUGGACGUGGUGUGUACAAAUGUGACCGUGGGUGCACAGCUGAAUCUUGCGAGUAGCUGAUGAGCUGGUACAGAGAUCGAAGAGCUGCAUGCAGAGGCCGUGCGGUCAUGCAGUGUCUGCUUGAUUACUGUGGCAUUGAAUCAAGCGUUGUGGGAGAUUUAAUAGGAGCAAAGCAAGAAACAGUUUUUCACAUUGGUUUUGGCAAAAAGAAUUAUACACCUUACUUUAGGGAAGCUAUGAGAUAAUUGAUGCCUGAUAUCAUGAACUUGAUAGAGUUUUGCCUGGAACAAGCUAUAGAUCUGCAUGCAUAAGCAAACUUUAAUCAUAAAAUUGUGCGACGUGUGGACUUGUAGGAUAUUAUCAUUUUGGUUAUAUUUCUUGCAAGGAUUCUUCACCGAACUUAUGCAUUAAAAUAGGGCCUCCUUUGGUAUCUUGUCUGGCUAUUUAUUGUUACACUACUGUUUGAUGUUGAAACAACAGUCGUCAGGUUAUCAAUCUCAAACCUUGCAGGAAAACUUUAUGAGAGGGAGACCAGGAUAUGAACACCUUGAUGAGCCUCUCCACCUCGUGAUCAAAGCUGAGCUGCCAGCUGAAAUCAUCGAUGCCCGUCUUAUGCAGACCCAAGAAAUUCUCGACGAUAUGCUGAAACCGGUGGUAUGAUACCAUUGCCUCACUUCAUGUUAAAAGAAAGUUUCAUGUUACUUUCGACCAUGUGGUGGACAUGCGCUGUUCUCAGGAUGACUCACUUGUAUAUUGCGAACUGUUGCCAGGAUGAAACAAUGGAAUUCUUCAAGACGCAGCAGCUUCGCGAGCUUGCUAUGAUCAAUGGCACCCUCAUAGAUGAUGGCUCACAGAAUUCCGGAUCGGUUUCCCCAUUCCGCGGCGACUUGGGCAUGAAGAGGGCCAAGAGGGUUAAUUAGGAACAUGGGCACUUGGUUGUCUUGGUUCACCAUCUUUAUGAGAAUGGGUUUGCACCUGCAAAAGGAAUGUUACUUUACUAGCUCUAAUCUAGGAAGAAGAAUGUGCUCCAUUUUGGUAGACUUGUGUAGCUCAAAGCGUUGGUCGUUUGGAAGUGCAAUGCUUCUGUAUGAAAGAAGGAAAUGAUUGGCAGAAUGGUACUAACGUAAUUUUUGUGUGGCCUUAACACAUAAAUUAUCAGCAAGCUUAUUCUAGAUGUGACAUUGAUAUUUUUGUAUCGGAUUUGUUGCACUCCUAGGAGAAGGAACAUGCCCAGGAAACUCAGGAUUUGGCUUCUUUAUCUGCAUCUAAACUGCUGUCCCUUUUCUAAGGGGGUGUGGCAUCUUUGCCAGCCGCAGGCUGGAAGAAUUUCGGAAGCAGCAAAAGAAGGGAACAUUCAGAAAUGGUAGAGCAAGAUCAGAAUGGCUUCAAGUAAGAAUCCAGCAGCAAAGGAGAUUACCUUGGCUUCAUACAUUUUGUGGAACAGAGAAAUCACAGAAUGUUUGAAGAGAAAUGCCUUCAGCCUAGAAGUAUUCUCAGCUCGUUUGAUUGGAGGGAAUUAGGAAAAGGGAAAGGAAAUUGAAGGGGUAAGUGAUGCUAAAUUAUAUGUUGAGUAAAUGCACUGUAGGUCCUAAAACUAUUCGGGGUGUGUCAAGUGAGUCCUAAUUCUAUGGAAGUGCAUAUUUGAAUCCUAAUUAUUUGUAUGUUGUUCACCUGUGGUCCUAAUCGAGCCCGAGUCACUGCUAACCAGCCAGGUGGCAAGUUGACUGCCACGCUGGCUAACUGCGGGGUCGAUGAAAAGUGCAAAUAGGCCCAACCUUUCCAUACUCAUCCCGCGGUCCUUUCCCCAAUUCUCCCCACCCCGCUUGAAAUUGCAAAAUGGAAAGGUUAGGCCUAUUUACAAUUUCCAGUUAGGCCUAUUUACAAUUUCCAGCGACUCAACAGUUAGUCAGCGUAGCAGUCAACUUGCCACCUGACCGGUCAGCAGCGCGCUCGGGCACGAUUAGAACCACGCGUGAACAACUUACAAAAAAUAAGGGUCCAAAUAUGCACUUUGAUAGAAUUAGGACUCACUUGACACACGUCGAAUAGUUUUAGGACCUACGGUUCAUUUUACUCUUAUAUGUUUGGUUAGAGGGAAUGGGAGUUUAAAAGAGAUUGGGUAUGAGAGUUGAGAGGCCACUCCCGCAAUUUUAAUAACAGGGGAGGGGUGGGAAUCAGGAGGAAAUUGUUUCGUAGGGAUGAUCUUAUCGUUAUUCAUAACUUAUCUUAUCUAUCCUAAACCAAUUCCUCAUAAACUCGUGUCUAAUCUCAUCUAAUCUCCUUUUAAACUCCCAUUGUCCACAUAUUGCCAAACACUGUCUAGGUUGAUUCGGGCGGAGGCAGAUCAUUUUUUAGAAGGCUUUUGCCCGAUAGCCUAGCUAAUGUACAGCUUAGUUACAGGGUGUAAUUUGGAUUUUUUUUUCCUGGUUCUUAUUUUGUACCCUUCUUGUAAACUACUUCUCUCCUUAAUGCAAUAGCAGUGCUCUUGCUUUUCUCAUUAAAAAAAAAUCUGCAUCUUAGGUAAUAUAAUAAACAUGAGUCGGUGAUGGUCGUUUAAGUUGAGGUCAAGCUUUUAAUUUAUAUGCCAGUCGCCCAACAUAUUACAGUAGAUUGCAUAUUUGAAAAUCAUAAUAGUAAAUUUGUCCAAAAAAAACUGCUCCCUCCGAUUCAUAACAAGUGUCUCAGAUUUAAUACAAAUUUAAUACAAUUUUUUUUAAAAACCGAGACACUUAUUAUGGAUCAGAAGGAAAUAUAAUACUCCGUACUAUAAAUUUUUUAAUUUGUCAUCUAAACGUACAUACUUUAUGAAAGCCCCAUAGACCUCAUGUAGGCAGUUUCAUAAAAUGUGUUUAUGUGAUUAGAGGUUAUACCUUUCAUGUGAUUUGUUUAUUUGAGAUCUGAUGGUUAGGAUUGAAAGAUUCAAAAACCCUUCUUUUUUAUCUUUUUCUCAAUGAAAUUGAAAACAACGGUGACGAAUUGAGAAAAUCAGUUUUUGAAUCCAGCUGGAACGAAAUCAAUCAGAUACUUGUGGAAGAGCACUUCUUUUUUUCAGGAAAGUGGGAAGCAUGUUGAACCAUAUAGGUGUUUAAAAUGACAUCUUGAACCAGAGGGUAUUGUGUAACAUCUGGAACAGUGGCUGUGACAUUUCAUCUCACAAUAGCUGUGAGAAUUCAGCAGCUUAGACGUCGUCGUCGUCAGCAGUUGGAUCGCUCCUGGCGCCAAUGAGAUGAUCUGUCCUGAAAUUCCCGGUUGAUCUUAGCUGUGUGUGCAUGUCCAAUUUUUCUCGUUUCUUUCUUCAGAAAGGCAUUUUGAUGCCUCUGGUCCUUUCGUUUCUUGACCGAGCGGCAGAAGAAAACCGAGAUCUCGUGGGAGAGCAUGCUAGAUCCUGUGAGUGCUUACGGCUUAAGCAAGCCAUGUAAUUGACCAAGUUAUUUUUGUUCUUAAACUCCGUAGGGUGCCAUGCGUUUGGAAAUGUAAGACGGAGACGUUUUAACUAUCGUCGACUGACAAGUUCAACAGUAUACACCCUCGGUUCUCAAAAAAAUAUUACUUCCUUCGUUCUGAAAUAAGUGACAUGUAUUUGUAUAGAUUCUUAUACAAAUCCACGUCACUUAUUUCAGAAAUGGAGGGAGUACAUAUUUUAUUUUUAAUGCCUCCAGUGCGUUAAGUUUGACAUAAAAGUAUUUGCAAUAUUUUGUAGGGUAAAUACAAUUCUUAGUUGUACAAUCCAUAUACUUCAUUAUAUAUGCAUGUAUAAUAAUGGGCCCUAUAUUUUGGAAUGGAUGGAUUAUGAAUUAUGUGAUGUACAAGCACCAAUGAUUUGAACAGAAGAUUUUAAAUAGAUAUCAAUUUUUAUGCAACUUGAUUCACAUAAUGUUCAAACUUUUUAUUUCUUUCGAAAAGAAGAUUGAAACCUUCGGCCUCUGUGCACAUAUCCUUUUUCAUUAUAUUAUUCAACAAACCGGACAAAGCGAAAACAUCAAUCAACUCAAAGAAACCUUCCUAGCGACAACAGUCGACAACACAUACAAACUUACUGAGCGGACCACGAUCGGGAUCGUCUGCCCCGACCUCACACCAACGCACAUCAUUUAAAAUGAAGGAGGUGACCAUGAUUAGAGUCAUCUACCCUGACCACAGACGAAUGCACAUCAUUCAAAACUGGAGGCAGAACCGGUGUAGCAAAAUUUUACCGCGCACCGUAUGCACAUGCUCCAGAAGCCGUCACUCACUGUCUUUCACCGACCCAUCUUCAGAACAGGGCUCGAAGCAUUGACCUUGCCAAGCCUACCAUCGACACGACAUCGCCACGACGCCAGACAUCGUCACCUCCCUGCAUGCGUCCAGCAACAAGCAUCCGUCACCAAGACCCUGAUGCAUUGGAGCCGCGGCAAGCAGACGCACACAACCGCCCGAACGCAGAUUGGGCUCCAACGGCUCCUCACUGGGCCCUCAACACGGCGCCGACCGGCCGUGAGCCACAUCGACGAUGGAUCUGACCAGAGCCAGAUCCACGGCCCUCGCCACCAUGGCACCAUCCAUCACUGGAGAAGCUGUUGCUGCCGGCCAUGGAGAUGGACAUCACCUGCAUGUCCAAGGGAGGUUGCCCUGUCCCUGCACGAAGCACAUCACCACGGGAGCCGCCCCAGGCCGUCCUUGAGAACCGCUGCCACAUGCCCACAGCCACCAUGGCCAAAUGCAGUAAAAGUAAAUAAAUAAAACGCGAGAAGUUAACAUUUUUUAGACGAAACGCAACAACGUUGCUUUCAUAUAUUAAGAAAAAAAAAUGUAAUUUACAAAGGAAACCAACAAAGAGAGAAAGAAAUACAACACCUUUACGGAGGGCACAUCCUAUGAAACCAUAUACUAUCAAUUAUCUAAAAGAGACGACUGCUUUACAUCCAGCCAUCUGCCAGGAUCGAAGCUCAUCCAAAGACAAUUCACAAAGAUUAGCAACAAAUAUCUGCUUGGAGUGAAAAACUCUGAGAUUGCGCUCGAGCCAAAUGUGCCACCAUCCCAUCAUGAUAAUGGCGCCCAGAUGAUCACGGCCAAGCUUCUGGGUGCAAUGACUAGCUACCACAUGAGUGGUUGGUUAGCAACCAUACCUGUGUACGUACAGAAGAUGUGAUAUGAGUAGGGCUGAAAACGAGCCGCCCUAGGCCACUGACUUGCUUAGCCGGGGACAGAGAAGAGGCGGCCGCUGCCACCGUCAUCGGAGAUUGGGGCAGGGUGCCGCCAUUGGAAGAUGCGCCGGAGUUGCCGUUGUCAGGUGUAUGGGACUCCGGUGGCUCAUGUAGGCAAGGACAGUCCCCUUGAGGUUUCAUCUAUCUGAAAGAGCAGAUGCGGCUUGGAUCCGGUUGGAGGAGAGGGCGGUGCAGCGGUCUAUCCGGUGAGGAGCCGCUACAAGUCGGUCCCAGACGCCUGUUGAGGUGGUGAUGUUUGCAGCGGUCGGGCAUAGAGGUCAUGGCACUGCAAUUAGCGACUUGUGUUGAGGCGGAUCUGUUGUUGACGAUGCUUCUGAUAAUGAGGCACAUCUGAUAUGGUCAUGCCGCAUGUUACUAUCACCAUUGUUGCUGCUAUGAUGUAUGACAAUGAAGACAUGUUGGGAAAGCGGCAUAGGAUGGUCUCUUUGUUCUCAUGUGGCUCGAGGGCGAUAGGCUAGGAGGGUUUCCUAGCUCGUUGCCAAUUUUGAGUUGUAAUAACUGAGAUUUGUUCUCCAUAUGCGAUUUCCAUAAUAUUAUGGCUACGCGCAUCGAUCGGUGCAUGCAGAGGCCGGGGAAAUGUCCUUCUUUCCGAAAAGAAAAAAAUUGUUUCUUGAAGAGGAAAAAUGAAAACAAGUGAAAACAUGAAAAUACAAACAUGAUUUUGUGAAACAGAAACGGAGGAGGAAUUCUGUUUUCUGAAGCACUUGCGGAAACUGAACUUGGUAUCCAUAUUUUCAGAAUUUUCAUUUAUAGUUCAAUCUAGUUUAGCCAACCCAAAAGUCCAUCCACGUCAACUAGAAAGUAAACCCCCAUCAACGGAUCCUACAUCUUUCAUGUUCCGCGGCGCCGUUGCACCCACUGUCAACGACCACGCAUUUUCACUGGCGAGAAAGCAUUAGUAUUCUUUGUCUGCCACCGUCCUCCCGCCCAUACGAUACGACGCUCUACCCUCUUCUCUUUUUUUGUGUUCUGACAAACAUGCAUUUUCUUCCCCGGAAAUAAAACAUUCACUUUUAUAUCAUGUCCAUAUUUGCCCCAUAUCGGUUCGUGGCAUAAUCUACUUCCGUAUUCAUUUUUGAGAUUUCCGUUUCCAUCUCUACUUUCCUGAAAUAAAACAUAGAAAUAAAUAUAAUAUUCCUUUCGUCUCAAAGUAAUGGUCACAAUUUCAUGUAGUGUGUUGAUCCAUUCAUUUUGAAAAGAAAUUGCAACACUUAUUUCAGGACGGAGGUAUUUCCGCUCCGUUUCAGCCUUGAUGCGACGGCGACUCGUUGGACCUAAUAUACCAGUGCUGGACAGUGGAGAUAGUUUCGACGUGUUCUUUUUUCCGAAAAGAGGAAAAGGAGUUUUGCUCUGCCGUAGGUUUUACUUUGGCCGUGUCAAGAUGAGUGCGCAUCCCACAUUGACCGCCAAGUUACUCCAUGCAGUUUCCAGCCUCUCUUUUUCUUCUCAAGUCGUUGUCUUUCCUUUAUAUGUUCCUCCACGUGGCAUCGUAAAUUUGGCUGUAUGUUUGCCGCACGCCAACUUUCUUAAACGCGUCAAGGACGGCGUUGUGUUGCCACACUCUUGCUUCAUUUUUAUCUCAUAAUCUUGCCACUUGCCAGACGUGUGUCUCGGUUGUUCUGCUGGUCUAAGCUUCCACAGCAAUGUCAAUCCUGCAGACUUCCCAUGAAAUUUCCUAUAUGUGGCCUCCCCGCUCAUGAAAGAGAGUCCAAAACUGGAUCAUGGACCUAGCUCGCUUUACUACUGAAGCAGCUAGUCAGACAGAAGAUUUGUUCUUCUUCCUGGAUUCGGUCGGCAAACGUGCAUCCCUAGUUCGACACCCAUGCGGAAAUAAAUUACAGUACUCCUUUCGGUCAGAAUUAUUCGAAAUAUUACACGUAUCUAAACGUUUUUUAUACAUGGAUAUAUCCGUAUUUGAACAAAUUUGAGACAAGUAAUACCGAUCGGAGGGAGUAUUUUUUUUCAUUGUUCAAGACAUCGGCCAAUUCAGGAAUCGGCCGAUUAAUCGCUGAUCGGCAGACCACCGUGCAGAUUAACACUUAUCGCCGCACUUAAUCACCCAAGCCGAUUAAUCGGUCUGACAACCGAUUAAUCGGGAUUAAUCGGCCUAUUGAUCGGGAUUAAUCCGCGGGCCAGCCCCUGCUUGAAGCCUUGAAGAGCUUCAAUGAUGCCUUUGCUUCCUCCCAUUUUCACUGAUGCCUUUGCUUCUCUUGAUUUGUUUUAGAUGGCUGCAUCUUCCCAAGGUUCUCGUGCGGCAAGUAGCCCAAUAUAUAAUUAUAUAUACUAUAUAGUGUAAUGGUCGACCGAUUAAACCGAUUAAUCGCUAAUCCCUACCCGACCGAGCAGUUACCGAUUACCGAUUUCUUGAACAAUGAUUUUUUUUCGUAAUUUUUUUUUCAGUAUUUUGUUCUAGACUUUGCCUCUGAAAAUCUUUUACCGUGUGCUCUGUUUGUCAAGUGCGGACGUAUGCUUCUGAUCAGAUCUGUCUCGAUUGUGGGAGUCCCUUUUUACACGACCGAGUGAACCAAAGGAAGGAUCCAGGCACCCAGCAUAUAUGCAAUAGCGUCACCUCUGUGUACAUAGCUAGCAAUAUAUAAGGCCGGUCUUGGGCGGCACAACAGCAAAAUGAGCGCUCCACUCUCAACGCGAACGCGAAAUUAAGCAAGCGAGCAGCGUGGGUAAGAAUGAUGACGCUUCCCAUGGCAGCAGCAACCGCCUUCUUCUUCCUCGCCCUCCUCGUGGCCGUGUCAACAGUCCUGGCGGCCAUCGUCGAGCACACAUUUGUUGUGAGUAACAACGAUCGAUUCCCUUUUUAUCCGAGACAACAAACAUGUUUUGUACUCGGUUUUUUGUUUUCUUUUUCUUUGUUUCUUGCUCCGGCAAGAUGUGUUGCCACUCGGGCUUUCUUUUGAGAAUUUAUUCAGACGGGGAUUCUUCCCCUUGUUGAUCUCUCUCUCUAAGAAAACACGUUUUACCACGAGAUUGCAUCAUUGCUAUAUGAGUGUCAUGCUUGUGCAUUAUGUGUAUUUUGUUAAGUGAUCCCAAAGGCAUACAGAAAAGAAUUAACCGAGCACAUGUAAUUAGAAGAAAAAAUUAUGCCAAAAAUAACCGUGUUUUCCUUUUUUUUUCCUUUUCGAAAAAAAAACUACAGGUACGGCAGAUGCAUAUGCAACACUUGUGCAAGGACACGCUGGUGACGGUGGUGAACGGGCAAUUCCCAGGCCCAGCUGUAGAGGCCACGGAAGGGGACACCGUGGUUGUCCACGUCAUCAACCAGUCGCCCUACGGAAUCACGAUCCACUGGCACGGCGUGAAACAGCGGUUAACCUGCUGGGCCGACGGGGCCGGGAUGAUCACGCAGUGCCCGAUCCAGCCCAACACGGCCUUCACGUACCGGUUCACGGUGGCCGGGCAGGAAGGAACCCUGUGGUGGCACGCCCAUGUCGCCAGCCUCCGUGCAACCCUGCACGGCAUCCUCAUCAUCCGCCCAAAGUCCGGCUCCUACCCGUUCCAAAAGCCUCACAUGGAUGUCCCCAUCAUCAUAGGUUCCGAUUCUUUUUUCCUUCUUCUGUUGUCGUCGUCGUUGCUAGAACACGAUGUUUUGAUCAUGUAAUUAAGCUAAUCGAUGCUGCUGCUUGCCAGGUGAAUGGUGGCAGAAGGACCUGACAGAAGUGGAGAAGGGGUACCUGAACAGCAACGACAACGACCCUGCUGCGGCUGCCAUCAACGGGAAGCUUGGAGAUCUCUACAACUGCUCCGGUAUGUAACUAAUCUUGGGAACAAUUUUAAUCUCUGUAGAGAUUGUGGGCAUGUAAUCAGUUCACGAAUCAAACCUAUCUGCACACAUAUAUAUGUAAUGCACGCAGGUGUAGUAGAGAACAGCUACGUUCUGGAAGUGGAGCGGGGAAAGACGUACAUGCUGCGGCUGGUGAACGCCGCGCUCUUCUCCGAGUACUACUACAAGGUCGCCGGCCACAGGUUCACGGUGGUCGGUGUCGACGCCAACUACGUCAAGCCGUACGACACGGACGUCCUCGCGAUCGCGCCGGGCGAGACGAUGGACGUCCUCAUGGUCGCCGACGCGCCGCCGUGCCGGUACAACAUGGUCGCCCUGUCAAUCCAGGCGCCGGCGCCCGACCCGCAGAUCCAGACGUUCGUGUCCAGAGGCCUGGUGCGGUAUAAGAACGUUGCCGUCAACAGGACACGUGUCUGCAGCGAACAAGCUCUGACGCCGAAGAUGCCCGACCGCCACGACACGGCCACGACAUUCUUCUUCCACGGCAACCUCACCGGCAGCCUGCCGCCCGGUCAUCAAUCAUUGUUGAGGCAAGUCCGAGACCGUGUCGACGAGCGGCUGUUCAUCACGCUUGGCCAGGGCUCCAUCUGCAAAGGGGGAAACCAAGAGGGAUCGUGCAAGAGAGGAGGGAGCAACGAGUCCAUGCUAGUGGCGUACAUGAAUAACGUGUCCUUCCACCUCUCGGAGAAGACGGUGUCGUUGCUCGAAGCACGGUGGCACCGCCGGAACACGACGACGAUAAACGUGACGGUGGAGGAGCUGCCCGGAAGGCCGGCGAGGGUGUUCAACUUCACGGACCUGGCGCUGAUCCCGCUGAUCCCCGGUGGGAAGGGGGAAGAGCUCGAGCCGACGCGGAAGGCGACGACGGUGCGGCGGUUCGCGCACAACGCCACCGUGGAGGUGGUCUUCCAGAGCACGGCGGCAUUGCAGAGCGACUCCAACCCGAUGCACGUCCAUGGCCACGACUUCUUCGUGCUUGCGCAGGGCAAGGGCAACUACGACGCGGCUAGGGACGUCGGAAGGUAUAACCUGGUGGACCCGCCGAUGAAGAACACGGUGCAGGUGCCAAGGCUUGGGUGGGCAGCCAUACGCUUCGUCGCCGACAAUCCAGGGAUGUGGUUCAUGCAUUGCCACUUCGAGUACCACAUCGCCACGGGCAUGGCCACGGUGUUCCAAGUGGACGACGGGCCCACACUGGACACCACUCUUCCACCCCCGCCUUUGGAUCUACCAAAGUGCUCACAUAUCAAGGAAUAAGCUAGCCUAAAAAAAAGCUAGCCAGGGUUAUAUAGAAUAACUCUGGAAUUUGCGAGGCGAGUAUAUGUGUUUUUUUAUGGGUUCAACGUUUCGUUUUGUUAUUAACAUUUUUGAAUUGUGGAAAUAAUUUCAUAGACAACGCUGAAAUGCACUUUGAGCUUUUACACAAUCCAAGUGAAACCGCUAAAACUUAACCCAAAUAUUACAAAAUAUGCCACUGAGAACAAAGAUAUCAGAACACAAGAGCAUGUCCAAGAGAAUAGUCAAAUUUGAGUAGUCAUAUCAGGAAGUUUUGACCAUUCAAACUUGAGUGGCAUCUCUCCAAAUGGCACAUCAUUAUUUCACCCUCAGUAUUUCACUAGCCAAAUUUCAACUAGUUUCUUUUGGAGUACAAUAGCUAAAUACGGAGUAUAGAGGAAUUGAGAGAAUAAUAUGAAGGUUCUACAAAUAUGGAGAUCUCAAUGGCUACACCGUGGGAGACGGGUUUCUUUUUUCUGCCCAGUGAUAGCCAUCUCCAGGAUAGAGGGUGAGAUAGCUACUCUUUUGGACAAACAAAAUUAGAAAACUUAAACAUUUGAAGCAUAGCAUUGAUACCCCCACUCAUACUAUCAUCUCUAACAUGCAGUGACGAAAGAAUCCAACAAAGUUGUGCAAAACAUAUGCAUCGACUUGCUUUUCAAGUCACUUGCCCUUCUGUCCGACUUGACCACUUGUCCUCCUGUCCGAGGAUGAAGAUAUCGUGCAAAACUCACGGCCAGGAAAUGCUUCACCAGGGCAUCAAGCCAACCGUCCGAGCCACGGGGACGCCAUGUGGUUCAGGUGUCCGCCUUGAUUCCUUAAUUGUUUCAUCUAUAUAUAUUUCCGAAGUGUUCUGGCUUCCACUGCCAGGAGGGAGAAAAAACAGAACAAGACUAGUGACGUUGCUAAAAUGUAGGUUACUUGCAUAGGUCUGGCGUGUCUCGGAUGUUUGUUUGAACCACAUGGUAAUUGAUUUAUGCAGCCAACGAGAAAUGUUUCUCUCUAGAAAUUUGAGUUAAAAAGUCAAUCUUGGAUUGGGGCGCCUAAUUAAUACGUUGACUCGAACCAUGUAGCAGUUGAUCCAGGCAACAAACUAGAAAUGUCUAUUUCAGGACAGCGUGUUUCCAAAUAUUCGUUGUCGGGUAAUGCUGAAAAAUAGAGGCAAGAUCUAAAGAUCGAAAUUUGCAGAUCCAUGCAACGUGCAAAACGCUGGCUAGUUUUUGUGGACUUUACACGAAACUAUAUCUAUGGAAAUUAUAAGUUAUUUUCUGUCGUUUGGCACCCAUCAUUUGGGUCUAAAAUUCUGGAAUUCAUUUCGAAUUUCAGAAACCAACUUAUUUAGGUGGCAUGGAAUUGACCACAUGAAUUCAAUCUCAAAUUUCAUGUAAUCACACUAUAACUAACUUCAAUUACUUUCUAAAAACCAUAAUUUCUCUGAAAUUGUCUCUCACUCUACAAAUUCAUGUGGUAGACAAGAUUUUUGAACCUGAAAUUCAAAUUCAACCAAAUAAAUUUUUUAUAAAAAAAUUAAAUUUUAUUUUAUUUUUACCAAAUGAAAUGAAAGGAUGGAUGCCAGACGAGCUAUAGAGAGUACAAAGAUGAUGGCGCAAUUACCAAGAAAACCAGAUGUGUGAAGGCACCUUGCUUAGCAAUAACCGUACAUUGUUUAAUUUGGUUACGUGUUAAACACAUGUCCGUUUGCUUCCUAGCUACUAUCGUCCCAAAAAUGCUUUAUGGCCUGUAUUUCCUUGGAGUGUACUACAACCACCUUCGCCAUGUUGAGCCGCGCAGUACGACCGUCUCAAACCGCAUGUAGUUUUGCAUGAGAACAGAACACUUGUUAAUUUCGGCACGUCAUGGAACGGGCUACGUACACUUGUUUAAAAAGGCUAAAAAGCUUUUGCCAGUAAAGGCACGGCACAGGCACAGCCUUUUGGCAACAAGACAUUGAGCAAGAGAAAAACUUUACAGCCAAAGGGGUUGUUGUACCGCAAACCGCAAACUGAUUUUGUCACGCCAAGGCGUGAGUUCAUUUGGACGUACGUACAUUGCUUGGCCUAUAAAAUCAGGAGGAGAAGAGUUUGCAUAACCAUCAUUCAUCGCUCCGAACCGAAGUGAGCCCGCAGAGCCAGCCAGAAAAUAUCAAGAAUAUUCCAUUGUUUGCAAUCAACCAUGGAUGUGCCUUUGGCAUCCAAAGCCUUCCCCUCCCCUGCCUCCAAUUCCAAGGCCGAAAAACCCGCCGUUGAUGGUCCGAAGCGCUUAUCGAAGCCAGCAGAUCUCAAUCCCAAUGCUAAUGAUGUAAGCGGCUACUAUACUUAAUCAUGCUUUCCUUUUUCCUUCCUAAGCUUCGAUUUCAAUUAUAAUACUCCGUAUUAUAUUUACAGAAUUCCUUGGCAGAGUGCAUCAUCUAGCAUAACAAUAAUCAACUGGGAUUCCUUUUUUUGUGUGCCAUGCAAUCAUCAAAUCAAAUUAACAUAAACUUUUCCUUUUUGCCGCAAAAUCAUUUGAGAUCGAGUGAGGAGUGUAAGACUGCCAGAAGCCAGAACCAUCAUGGCUGUGUGCCUGCUCAGUUAUGUGAAAAGAUCAGAAGUUGAUGAGUUAACGCCUUUGUCUGAACGAAAACGUCCAAAGCCAUCAGGGCCACGUCCUCCCCCAAAGGAGAUCAUUCCAAAAGAGCCACCUGCUCAUUGCAGACACCCACACUCUCUUUCUCUUCCAAAAAUAAAGGGCAAAGAAAGGGAAAUGGAAAGAAGAUCUCCGGAAAGAUGAGUUAAAUUUACACAGCCACACGAGGCUGCGCCACUCACUCAGUGGCAGACUAUCUCUAUUCUCUCCCCUCUCUGAUCUCUCUCGCCACGGACACGGAGACCCCGUGAACCGAGCUCGCCAUCCACCGCCCCAAUGGCGAUGGCCGCGGCCGGUUCCCCUUCCAAGACCCUGAUCCCCCCGCACCGCGCCUCCGCAGCGCCCGCUUCCACCUCCUGCGACUCCCUCCGCCUCCUCCUGCACCGCGCGCCGCGGGGCAGCAGCAGGCGCACGCCGCUCGGGGUGGCUUCGUCGUCCCCGGCUCCGGCGCGGCGCCCGUUCGUCUUCUCCCCGCGCGCCGUGUCCGACUCCAAGAGCUCCCAGACCUGCCUCGACCCCGACGCUAGCACGGUACGCACGCGCCAAACGCCGACACGCCUCGCGCCAGGAGUGGGAAAUGCGGCGCUUUACGCUCGCUAGCCUGAUCCCGUGAUCCGUUGUGUCCUUGCCUUUCCUGAUGAGAGUCUGAUACGCGCGGGAAAAAUAUUGCUAUCUCCUUUACCGAUUCGUCGGUGAUUAGACGCCCAAAUGUGCCUUCUGUUUUCAUGUCGGCAAUUAAAAGGAAUGAGAACGGGACAUGAAUCAUUUGGACGUUUUCAUGGUUUCGGCUUUUCUUUUUGUACUAGGAUCCAAUAAAUAUGGAAAUUGCAGGGUGUGAAUAGUUUAGAGCCUCAUUUAAUAAUUAGCUGUGGCUGUGAUUGUGUGAGCCCGGAAGAAAAUGAUUAAGAACUUGUCAUGGUCCAUCAGUCCAUGCCAUGCGGCUCUUAAACACUACCGGGCAAUCAGAUCGAAGACUUGAAUCAUACUUUCUCAUUUACUCAAUUUUUUUCCUUAAACUGUUUUAGUUGUUGGUUUUUGAUUCAUGGUUUGCAAUGAUCCAUAUCAUGGCUAUUGAAUGUUCUUUGUUACUUAAUCAUUCUGUGGUUUCAUAUGCUGUUCCUUUCUCGAGAGUGCCUAACUUAAAAUUCAGAACUGUCUUCUUCCUUUGCUCUACUCAUUAUUUGUCGCACUAACUCCGCUAUAAGCUAUUGAUGUGCUUCUUUUGUUUGUGCAGAGUGUUCUUGGGAUCAUUCUUGGAGGUGGUGCGGGAACUAGACUGUAUCCCUUGACAAAGAAGCGUGCCAAGCCGGCAGUGCCAUUGGGUGCCAACUACAGGCUUAUUGAUAUUCCUGUCAGCAACUGUCUGAACAGCAACAUAUCAAAGAUCUAUGUGCUGACACAGUUCAACUCCGCUUCUCUUAAUCGUCACCUUUCACGAGCUUACGGGAGCAACAUUGGAGGGUAUAAGAACGAAGGAUUUGUUGAAGUUCUUGCCGCACAGCAGAGCCCAGAUAAUCCUAACUGGUUUCAGGUAUCUCGAUCAAUGUUACUUUUUGUUUUAUCAAUCAUGAAAAUUGGCAUUCAUCUACCUGUGGACAUCUGGGUUAUAUUAUUCGCUUCAAAGCCCUUACGAUAAUAAGAAGAAUACAAUUAAAUUUAUGUAGUACUCCCUCCGAUCCUAAACAACGACAAGAAUUUAGGAUCAGAGGGAGUAGUGUUCAUUCUUCAAUAUAGUAGUUCCCAUUUAUUUCCUUUUAAUUUCAUUGUCUCAUGUUGGCAUUUAAAACAGGGCCAAUUUAUAAUUCCUAUGUAAAAUUACUCGUGAUCAUAUUCUCUUGUCACUGUGGAUGAAUGUCAGGGCCAACCUUCCAUGAAUUACGUAGAGUAUAGAAAAUACAGGCAAUUGACAUGAGCACAUAAGCAAAUUGUCACGGACCUGUCCAAUUUUAUAUAGCUAACUUUGCUAGAGAAUAUGUUCACAAGUUAAGUCCAACUCUUUGCACCAGAAUUUUACAGUAAUGAUCUGUAAAAAUAAUAUAUUUGACUUUAUACUGCACAUUCAAAUCUGUAUUUUAUUUGUUCCGGAUUGUACUGUUGUACCCUAAUCUAAUACAUGGCAUUCCAGUUGGUUACUAAAAAUGAUCACAAAGUGUUUAUCAAAUCCAUGCUCAUCUGCAUUAAGUGUUGCUAGGAUUCCUUGCUAGGUUUUGUAGAGUAUUAAUUUUCGUUCAUCUUAUCUCAGGGUACUGCAGAUGCUGUAAGGCAGUACUUGUGGCUAUUUGAGGAGCAUAAUGUUAUGGAGUAUCUAAUUCUUGCGGGAGAUCACCUGUACCGGAUGGACUAUGAAAAGUUUAUUCAGGCACACAGAGAAACAGAUGCUGAUAUUACUGUUGCUGCCCUACCGAUGGAUGAGGAACGUGCAACUGCAUUUGGUCUUAUGAAAAUCGAUGAAGAAGGGAGGAUAAUUGAAUUCGCAGAGAAACCUAAAGGAGAACAGUUGAAAGCAAUGAUGGUAUGCAUUGUUAACUAUGCCUUUCUAGCUAAUUUCAACAUACAGUUGUCAGAUAUCAUUUUUUUUGAAGUUAAACUGUAAGAGCUACACGAUUGUAGUCCGACAGUAUAUAGAUAUAUAAUUUUACAAAGUGAGGCACCAAAGUGUGACCUUCGAGGAUCGAACUCUGGUGGGCUGCCAGCAUUUUUUUUCCUCGCUGGCUGACCACCCAAGCUAUGCUUGGUUCUCCAGCUAUCAUUUAUUACACCAGUAAAUUUCUAUAAAAUGCUGUUUUGUCUUACAGGUUGACACAACUAUACUUGGCCUUGAUGAUGUGAGGGCAAAAGAAAUGCCUUAUAUCGCUAGCAUGGGUAUCUACGUUAUUAGCAAACAUGUAAUGCUUCAGCUUCUCCGUGAACAAUUUCCUGGAGCUAAUGACUUUGGAAGUGAGGUUAUUCCUGGUGCCACAAGUACUGGAAUGAGGGUAUGCAAAGCUCAUUGAGUUACUAGUUUGUUUUCUUUAGUUAUUGCUUUUUAUCAUUUGAACUUACAAAAUAUCAAGCCAUACAUAUAUUUCUUCGACACAUCGAUACAAUAAUAAUUUACCAUAUGAGCACGUCCAUUGGCAUGGAUAUUUGCAAUAUAUGCUGCUUAAGAGUCGUAUUGUUGUCUGCAGGUACAAGCUUACUUAUAUGAUGGCUACUGGGAAGAUAUUGGUACAAUUGAGGCAUUCUAUAAUGCAAAUUUGGGAAUUACCAAAAAGCCAAUUCCGGAUUUCAGGUAUGCUUUCGCAUUUCACCUUGCCGUGGCAGAAGAUUAUGAAACUGAAUGCAUGCAAAGUGUUAGAAUUAGAGUUACCCUCUGUUCUCUUUAAUGUAUACCUUGAAUAUUGUUGCAGUUUCUAUGACCGUUCUGCUCCAAUUUACACACAGCCUCGACACUUGCCUCCUUCAAAGGUUCUUGAUGCUGACGUGACUGACAGUGUCAUCGGCGAAGGGUGUGUUAUUAAAGUAAGUAGCCUUUUGGUGGCUAUCCGGAACUCUUAUUGAGUACAUAGUGUCUCGUCUCAUCGUAACAAAUUUAACAACCCCGCUGCACAAACAUGUUUCCUAACCUUCUAUACUCCUUUAUGUGCUAUGAUUUUUAUAUAUCUUCUAAAGUAUUUUUUUCAUGCUGUAAUAACUAAUAAAAGCUCCUAAGUUCGCUCUGCCUUGCCUUUUCAUCUGUGUAGAACUGCAAGAUACACCAUUCAGUAGUUGGACUCCGGUCCUGCAUAUCUGAAGGUGCAAUAAUAGAGGACACAUUACUCAUGGGUGCUGACUACUAUGAGGUAAAUUAAGUACUGGUGUUAGAUGCUGCUGGUAGCGCAAUGGGAGAACUAAUCCAUCGGUUUUAUGUUGGCCAGACUGAAGCUGACAAGCAACUGCUUGCUGAAAAAGGUGGGAUUCCCAUUGGUAUUGGAAAGAACUCACACAUCAAAAGAGCAAUCAUUGACAAGAAUGCUCGUAUUGGAGACAAUGUGAAGGUAUUCCAAAUACAUACAGAGUUAUGGUUAUGGCUAAGCAUGUAUACUUUUGUAUUUUAUUUUAUUUUUGUGACAAAUUAUAAUACUGGGAAUGCAAUUGGAAAUUAAAUGGUGAUCCAGAUUCCAUUCUCUGCGUUUUAGCCCACCACAUUACAAUGAUUGCAUAUCCAUUUCCAGGAAACAUGAUACUCCACAUUGUUUUAGGAUCUUUCUUAAGUUGCUCGUUGGUAUUGUAGAUAAUCAAUGUCGAUAAUGUUCAAGAAGCCGCAAGGGAGACAGAUGGAUACUUCAUCAAAAGUGGCAUCGUUACCGUGAUUAAGGAUGCUUUGCUCCCUAGUGGAACAGUCAUAUGAAGUAAGUUUUCUUCUCCUAAACUACGUUGAAUAAAAAAGCCUUGCUUCAGAAAAUAGGAACAUAUAGUAAAUCAUAUAGGCCAGAUGCAGCAAAUUAGCUGGAACUUGGAAGCCAUAAACUUAAUACACUUGACAUUCACUUGGAUUGUAACACACAUUUCCUUGUUAGUUGACUCUGUUCGGGUUGCCCUGCAGGAUGAUGCGCAGUAUGUAACCGGGCACUGGGUUAGCUGGAAUCAACCGAUGAGCUCGCGAGGAGACCAUAAGAGCAAUAAAAAGGAGUGCCAUGCAAGGCACCUUCCCCUCCUUUUUUUUCUCCUUUGAUGUAUUAGGAUCUGUAAUGUACAAGUAACUUCCCUUCAGAUGUUGUGGAAAUCGGAAAUACCUGCUUAAAUUUUGGAUGUUUCGAUGUGGAACAAAAGGCGUAAACAACUUGCUAUGCCGCUGUUUUUCUAGAGGAUAUGUUAUGCGGUUUUUGUUCGUCAACACCUAAAUUUAGAUCACCUAAGAAAGGUGAGCAUUAAGGUCAGUAUACGAAAAGUACAUGGAAGAAAGCUGUUAGAUCUGCGAACAAAAUUAUAAUAAGCACCUCAUGAAGGUUGCAGUCAUUUUUGUUAAGUGCUACAGUGAAGAAAAAUCGGAACAAUUCAAAGAUGUGCUCAGAAACUUAGAGGUGCAUUGAUACAGACGCAUGAAAACUUUACUUCACAAUGAAUACAUAUGUGGUGUUCAAAGAAAUUCAUGCUCCAGAGCACUUACACACACAUGUAAACAGCUCGAGACAUUUUUCUUCUUUUUAAUGCGCAGGCCUCAAGAUUGGCUGGAAAAGGGAACAUAAAUCAGGAUUAUUCCUAGCAAAAUAUGGUUUAGCAAAAGUAAACUCUAAACAUGAAGAAACAUGGUGAAAACAGAGUGAAUUUACCAUUAAUCACUCAGCUAGAAGCCUAGAAGUAGAAGCAGUAGCCCUCAAAUUCCAACAACCUUUUCUAGCUUCCGUUUUACCAAUCUCUCCUCUUUUUUUACACUCAAAAACAAUAAAACCUAUGAAGUACUACCUACAUUCCUUAAAUUAGGGCGUAUAUUGUUUUCUUUGACCGAGCCUUUGAUCAACGAUUACUCCAUCCUCGUGUCACUAUGUGAUACAAAUCAUAACCAUAACCGAGUACUUCUGAAUACGAAUGUAAUGAUAUCAAUUUUAUUCACAAAAAUAUAUAUUAAUAGACUAAUUCUUGAUCAAAAGCUUGUUCAAAGGAAACAAUAUACGCCUAAUUUAAGGAAUGGAGGGAGUAUGUGACAAAAUGAUGAAAACAGAAAAACUUUUUUAUAAAAAAGAACAUGGUUGAAUUAAUGAGAUGGCAUGGUUUGAAUUGAUAAAUUAAUGCAAAUAUAUAAAUAAAUACAUGAUGACUUGAAAAAAGACAUGCAUGACUUGAUGAGGUGUCAUUGUUUGUGUGCCAAUGUGGUGGGCCUGCUUGCAUGUUGAAAGAAAUAGGUAGUUGGGGGAUUAAAAACAAAUAAUAAAACCUAAGAAGUAUGUGAAAAAACCCUCUGAUCCAAAUUGAUUUAUCACAGCUUUGACUAGAUACACAUGUACCUACACACCGAAACACGUCUAGAUACAUGUGUAUUUAGACAAAGCUGCAGCAAUUAAUUUGGAUCGGAGUUAUAAAAUAGAAAAAAGUCCAGGAAAAAAAAGACAUGAUUGAAUUGAUGAGAUGGUAGGGUUUGAAUUGAUAGAUUAAUGAAAAAAUAUAAAUGAAUAUAUACAUACAUGGCUUGAAAAAAAGAUAUGCAUGACUUGAUGAGGUAGCUUACCACGACAAUGUCAUGGGCCUGCUAAGAUGGCAUAUUUGCAUGUUCAGAAAAAUAGGUAGUACAAAUAGGCCAUUAACCGAGUUUUUGGGUCCACCGAGUUGGCUGCUUGGUUAAUGGCACUCACAUAAGGUAGACGCUAGCUCCUGGGGUGAAGCACGAAAGAAUUACACUUUUGCUAAAUGUCAGCUAGCCGGUUUGUCAUUCAUAUGACAGGAAACUAAUUAUCAACAAAAAAAAAUCUGUAAAAAGAUCAGCUAGCUGAUAAUUGUUCCUUCCCAUUUUCGCUUUUGCUAUAUUUUUCUGUUAAAAUUGACCGACUUAUAGAAAUGCGAAAGAUAUUUUUUUUUUAGGGAAAAGACAGUAGAUCAAAAGAUCUACUGCCAUAAAUUAAAAGUAAAAUGUAUGUACAAAGGCAAUAGCCUCAAAGAAGCUAUCUAAAAGUUGAGAUCCAAUUCUCAAAAUUUACAUAUUUCUUUCUCUUAGAUUUAUGAAAGACAAGAUUAAGUUCCUCCUUGAAAAGCCUUCUGCAUCGAUAGAAGCUAGGAAUUAUAUUGUUGAAGACGAAGUCAUUUCAGGUUUUCCAGAUACUCCAUGUGCACAGGACCAUAAUUUCAACAUGGAAAGGGAUCCUGAGUUAUUCUUCGAGACGAAUCACAUUAGCAUGCACAUUGUGCUUGGCAGAGAAAGUAGGGCAGAUGUAUUCCCAGCAAGUCUUGGCAAAUUUGCAGGGAAAGAAAAGAUGAUAUCUGGUUUUUCAGCACAUUAUCAUCACACGUGAUGCAGUUAUGGGAACAUGGAAUUGACUCUUUUGUAGCAUGCCUCUAGUGUUGAGUCUAUCAAUGAGCAGGAGGCAGAAGAAAAAUUUGUGCAUCAGCUGAGCAGCUUUCCCACAUCCAUUUAAUGGAGUUUGGAAUGUCAAGGUGGUUGAUCUGAGCUUGAUAUACUUGAGUAGGUAUGAACACCUCUUUGUUCCAUAUAUAUGACCAAACAUCUUUGAUCUGGGUAGGGGUUGAGUUAGUGGCAAAAGCUCUUGCAUCAAGUGAAAGAGACAGUCAAAUCCUCAGUACGAAAGACCCUCUGGGAUGAAACAUUCUGGUCGUUGACAAAUGAAAAGAGCUGUGGCCAUUGAGUGUCAAGUGAACUAGUGGAUACCCCGCGCGUUGCGUUGGAUGCUAUAGUAAAAUCAUUCAUGAUAUUUAUUUGAUGCACUUGGCAUGACCGUGUGAAAGAGACCCACAGAAUACCGAUGCAAAAUGGACAAACAGAUGCAAUGCACAGCUAAAUUUUUUAAGAACAAUCCAAUGUACAACUCUUAGAUGUUCCAGCUGCACUUUUUUUUCAAAUAAAUAAAUUAUAAACUAAACUAUCAUUCAAACCUAAUGCCAGUGUCGAUCCACAUCAAAAUGGUAUCCAUCUUGACUUCCAAGAGCAAACAAUAAUGUACUAAAAAAAUGGAACCACUUUUAUUUUACUACUGCCGGAACAGUAACCAUCGGUUGGCUUUUCAUAUUCUUUGCAUAAUUAUUUAGUGCUCGUGUUAUUUCUCAGAGAAUAAUGCAUUUGAAAAAUCAUCAGGGAUGAGGAAAAUGGAAGCCAAGCUUGCAAAUAUUUAAUGCAUGUUUGUGGGGAUGAACUUUAUACCCUCCGUCCCAAAAUAAGUGAUGUGAAUCUGUAUAGAUUCUUAUACAAAUCGACGUCACUUAUUUUUGGAUGGAGGGUGUAGAUAUUAUAGAUUCCGGCGCGUUGCCGUGGAAAACUAUUUACACACUAAAUAUAUAUAGUUAAAGUUACUGACCCAUGUUUUCAAAAGCCAAAACCUAUGUUUUUUAAUGAUCCAAAGAACCUAAGCGAAACAGGUUUAUUAUCUCGGUUUUUCUUAUCUCGGUUAACCAUAAAGAUCAACAAACCGAGUCAAAAUGAGUAGCAAAAAAAAAAGGUCCAGCUAGCCCAGCCCACUACGCUCGUGGCCUCUCUCAUGAUCUCAUCCCGUUUCCUCGUUUCUAUCGACAGAAAUCGAGCUCUCGCAUAUCUCCUAGGAAUCUCUCUCCCCAAGUCCCGCAGUCGCUUCCAAAAGAAAAGAGAAAAAUCCCACAAGCUCUACCUAAAUCCAGAUCACCGCCACCUCCUUUGCUUCUCCAUGACUCCGCCUCGGCGGGCUUCCGGCGGCCGACGGUCUCCUCUUGGGCGUCCUGCUCCCCCCGUCUUCUUCAAGGAGUGACGGUCGACGACCGCCUCUUCAGACUGCCGAGCGUCCUGCGUCGUGGCCUCCUCUUCUUCCUUCCCGCAAGGGCCUGCACGUCGUCGGUGCGGGCAGCAGCGCGUCUGGGCGGAGAGGCCGGAGGAGCCGUACGGGGUCCAGCGCGCCGACCUCGCGAUCUCGCGCUCGCUCCGGAACGCCUCCGUCCACCGCCGACCGUUGCGCCUUCUCAUCGUCGGCCCUCUUCCGGGUGAAGUCGAGGAUGCAACGUCGAGCUCCUUCUUUUAAAGGGGCAAGUUGGCUGCUCAACUACUUGAUUCCUGGAAUUCCUCCUUCGGUUUCAUGAGCAUUAAUGUGUAGUGGAGGGAGAUGAAUGGGGCUUAGGAAGUGGAUGGGUUAUGUGCGUUAAUUUCUGUUGAUGUUUCAGAAUCUGAACGUGUGUUAAUUGGUGCUACCCGGCGCUAUUUGUUCAGAGAAAUUAUCUAGCGGGGAUGCAGAAGGAGACGACGUGAAUUAACUGCACUCAGUAGGCUUCAACUUUAUAGAGUUUAUAGAUUGCCUUCCGUAUUGUCUUUCCAGAAGAGCACAGUGUCUCCCGGUUCUGACUAAAAAUAGCCAGCUGUUUGAAGUUUUCAAGAAAUUUUAAAAUGUCAUUCCAUCAGAAUGAAGCGUUGACUCGGCAAGAGGGUGGUAGACCUGCUAAAUAAUGCUAACCCCGAUCUAGUUGACCCAGUGAAUGUCAUGUUUGUUAUAGAACUUGUGCAAGUUUUGUAGAAGAAGCGUUUUCUUCUGAAAAUUCAGGUUCUAACUCCCAAUCCACCCUCUUUGUUAGGUCUACGAACCAUUUCCCAUGCUAUCAAGGGAGGGUUUUAUUGGUACCUCCAUAUGAGAGCACAUUUAAGAAGCAAGUA